This 57067-nucleotide long non-coding RNA is filed under the name Setaria viridis. RNAcentral's name for it is "long non-coding RNA (SVIR_LNC001062)". Lineage: Eukaryota; Viridiplantae; Streptophyta; Magnoliopsida; Poales; Poaceae. The record is from RNAcentral.
UAUUCGUUUAUUGCAUUCAACAUUUUAAACAGCUUGAUACAACAUUUCUUUAAACUAAAGCCAAUACUUUGGAUAUUAGCUUUAGUUUUCUUUUUCAUAAUGUCGAUUCAACAUUUUGAAAGGCUUGAUUCGAUAUUAUUCAACACCUAAUUCAACAUUCCAAAUAUACUUAAUUUAACAUUAUGUCCGCUCAAGCAUUUGAGACCUCAUUCGAGGGCACUUGGAAUCAGUGGGGCAAUGUAAGGAGCCAAUGUGCGACGCGGAGAAAAAAUAGAAUACCUCACGAGUACUAUUGCUUCAUCCGUUCCAAAAUGUACAUCGUAUUGAUUUUUCUAUGUACAUAGAUUUUGCUAUGCACUUAAAUAUAGGAUUUUAUUUAGGUGCAUAGUAAAAUUUAUGUAUUUAGAAAAGCUAAAACGAACUAUUUUUUAAAAAACGGGGAGUAAUUCAGAACCAACACAACACGACAUCCAUGCAAAAUGGAAGUAGAAAUACGUCAACGCGAGCAACGUUAAUUGAGCCCACACGUAAAAGUUUAGUAAAUAAAGCACCAGCAGCUGAGAGCGAGCUAACCAACCACGCCGGUGCACCAGUUAUGUGCUCCACUAGUACUGUCACGUACGCGUCAGUACCACACAGCUAGAGAAUCUGUGUGCUCAUGCUCACAACGGGCCUGCAGCAUGCAUGGCCCUCCUGGCUCUUCUUUGCACGCAUGCGCUCUCUCGUUCGCUGUCCCGUAGACACAACACACAAGGCUGGAAGCCUGGAACCGUGCCGGCCGGCGGCCGCACAAAGUCAGCGUCCAGAACCGAACACGUAACGCGUGCAACGGAGGAUAUGCCCCCAGGCCCCAGCUAACUAUCGGGUGCUUAUCAUGAGCCCUUGAUCGAUCGGUUGUCAUGACCGGCGGCCCCCUGGAUCAGACACGUUUAUUCAAAUUCACCCAAUAUGGCAAACGAGACUAGGCUGUUAAUAUGUUAUACUCUGCAGGUCAACGCUGUUCUUGCCGAGACAUCACGCAUUCGUGCCCCGGCGCUGCAUCGCCCCCGCAGUCUCAGACUAGGCAAGAUUUUGAACAGUCAAAUGUCCAUGCCCACCACAUUCAUUCCUGCAGUAGAUUAACAAAGGACCAAGGCGGUGACCUUCUUUGAGGAGGAAACGGAAGGAGCCCUGUUCCUGUUGGUUAUGCAGGGCUGCGGCUUUUAAAAGAACCGGAGGGUCAAAAGCGCAGAUAUAAAACGUUCGCCUGGCCUAAUCGCUGGCACACAUCGCAUAUGCAUUUUGCUGCCUUGAUCGCUCACGCAGUCAGGCUGUAUUCGGUCACGGUCUCACGGAGGAAAACGUGUCAGCCAGCGCGCGGAUUCCGCGUUUUCCACGUUCACGCUCACCCCGGCGCACGACCGACCACCGUGUUUCGGAACCUCGCCGCGAGACCGGGGAUGAGAGGCAUUCCGUUCCGUGCGCACGAGCGCAACCCACCAAAAUACAGAUGCCGUUCCUGCGUAGCGUCACGCUGCAGCGCGAGGGUUGACCGGUUGAGGGUGAUCAUCAGAUCGAGAUAAGAGAGGACUAUAACAUGUCUGAGCACACCGGAGGACUAUAACAUGGUUGAUGAAAGAGAAUUUCGCAGUUCCGACAAAGGACUGAGGGGACUUGUCACCGAAAGCACCCACACCCUGCGCCAACGUGGCUGGGUAGCAUUUGAUCGUGGGAAGCAAAGCAGGCGACCGGGCCCCCAUGCAACGUAUAUUUGCCACCGGUUUUUAAAGCCUGAACCAACAGCAGACUACACAAACUGAAAGCGUGCUCCUGCGUUUACAAGGAAACAAAAGAUAUCCAGGUCAUGUUUAGUUCACUUCAAAAUCCCAACUUUGACACUAUAUAAAAUGAAAAUUUCCCAUCACAUCAAACUUGCGGCACAUGCAUGGAGUACUGAAUGUAGACGAAAUCAAAAACUAAUUGCACAGUUUUGUUGUACUUUGCGAGAUGAAUCUUUUGAGCCUAAUUAGUCAAUAUUUGGAUAAUAAUUCACAAAUACAAACGAAACGCUACAAUGUUGCUACAGUAAUUUUGACACCACAAAGUUGGGUAACUAAACAAGGCCCCAAUCUUCAGACUGAAGAUACGCUGCCUAAACUAUAGGAUCAAAGUUAGGUAGGUGAAAGCGCUGGAACGGGGCGAGGUUAUUGCCAGGUGCUGCUGCCGGGCGCGCUACAGGCGCGAAAAAUACAACACCAACAAGGAGCCACGGCAAGCAUGAGCUGAUGAACAGAGGACGUCAAUGAACAGGAGUACCAACGACGAAUGAUGUAAUCAGAUAGUACUCUCCAACAUUCAACAAGCGGUGGCAAUAAAGAAUUUCGAGGGAUUACAGCUAGGCAUCUUCGGAUGGCUCGUCCAGAUUCCUAAUGGAUUUGGUGACGGCAACAAUUUUGUGCCCCGGGAGCCGAUGAGCUCAUCGCACCAGGCAGGAAAAGGCUAACGCCAGGCGGAUGCGACGGUGACCACGCGCCCCAUCCACCCGACCCCGAGCCGGCCGCUGUCCAGCUUCACGUCGAACCCCGGGCGUGCGUGGCCGAGCCGUGCCUUGACGCGGUCGGCGAUGCCCUGCCCGAUCGCCACUGGCCGGAGCCCCGCCAUGCCGAACCGGGCACGCCACUUGCCGAACACCUCGCACCGCUCCAUCCGGUCGGGCCCCUCCCGCGCCAGCGCGUUGGUCGCCUUGUUGGCCAGAGCCUCCUCCGCUCGGGCCCUCUGCGGGCUGUCGCGGGCCAGCGUCGCGUCCAGGGACUCCAGCACCGCGCCGUAGUGCGCGCACGCGUCGGCGAACCGCGCCGCCAGCGGCGCCGUGUUCGUGUUCAGCUCCUGCUCCACCAGCGCCACGACACGCGGGCCCAGCGCGCGCACGCGGCGGAGGAGCUCGUCGCGCGGGUUCGCCGGGGACACGCUCUCGUCGGCGACGCGCGAGAGCGCGAAAGCGAGGUUCACGGCCAGCGCCUCCCCCGGCUCGCACCCGAGCCUCGACGCGUCGAUCUCGCCGGCCCGGCAGCUGACCGCGUUGAACCUGAACUCCAGCCCGGCUUGCUGGGCGUGCCUCUUGAGCCGCUGGCCGGUGGCCGCGAGCGCCUGCGUCAGAGCCGGCGUGAACGGCGACGCGGGGUCCGCGACGGCGGUGACCUUGAGGCAGGUGCCCGCCACGCGGCGGCUGGCGAGGGCUUGGAUGAGGGCGAUGUGCUGCGCGACGCUGACGUCGAAGUCGAUCAGGUGGAUGGCGCGCUGCCCGGCCACGGCGUCGAGGAUGGCGAGGUUGGCGCCGUGGAGGGCGAGGCCGAAGCAGGGGGAGACGUCGUGCAGGAGCUGGCACGCCGCACGCUGCUCGGGGCCGCAUAGCUCUGCGAGUUGUUGAGACGAGGGCGGGCCGAUGCGGGAGGACAGGGCAGCCGCCAUCAUGGCCACCAGCCUCUGUUCCGCGUCGCCGCGCGGGUUCACGGUCGUCUUCAGGGCCGCGAGGUGAGCCGCGGCCGCGGUGCGGUUGCCGUCGGCGACGGCCGCGGCGGUCUCGGACAGCAGCUGCCGCGACGAGGCUACCGAGGUCGGCGGUGAGCUGGACGCUGUCGAUGAAGCCGUGGACGACGAGGCAGAGUUCGUCGGCGACCUUGUUAUGGGCACGGUGUUGUUGUAGUUGUUCGUCGCGCUCGCCAUGGGAAGAGAAGGCAACGACGCCGCGGUGAUGGAGUUGAGCUCCUGCAUCGUGUCCCCCCACGCGGAGCUGGUGACCGUGGAGCCGCACGCGCUCCCCGCGGCCUCUGCAUCGCCGUCGUCGUCAUCACCCAGCAGCUUCUUCUCCAGCUCAUGCAGCAACACCAUCUCCCUCGCCGUCGCGGGCCUCGCAGCCGGUCCCCUGGCCACCACCGCUUGAGCAGCCUGCGGAGGCGCGGGCGGCGCAGCCGCCAUCUGCCGCCGCAAUAGCUGCUGCAUCGGCGGUUGCGGCUGCGGUGUCGCCAUGUGGGACCCGGUGGUGAGCGACGAGAGCGUCGACGACGGCUGCGGCGAGAGCCCGGCGAAGCCAGCCGAAGGCGGCCCGGAGAAACCCGAGCUCCGCGAGGCGGCCCUCGCCAGCACGGCCCCGAUGUCGAUCGGCGGGUGCGCGGCCUGCGCCUGUGCCGUGACGCGCUGCCUCACCGCGCGCAGGUACAGUGCCUGCUGCCACCGCUCCACCUCGCCCAGGCUCCUCUUCAGCACCCCGCCGGUCGCCACGGCCGCAGCGUCCUGCCGCGGCGGCUGCUGCGGUUGCCGCCUCACCCCCGGCGCCCGCGCGACCGAUCCGCCGCCGUAACCGUAGCCGUACCCCCCGCGAGGGUCGCACCACGGCGCGCCCGCGGGCUCCAUGCCGCCGACCGACGAAGCCCAGAGCAAAGCAAGAGCAGCAGAGACACCCCGCACGCGAGCAGGCAGGCCCAGCGGGAGAGAGAUGAGAGAAUGACAGAGGGAUGGGACGAAUCUACCGUGCAGGCGGAGGUGGAGAAAACAAGGAAUCCCGUAGCGAGGAACCGGCUGCGCCCAUUCAAUUCCUUGCUCCGCUAAUAAAGCGCCAGCCUUUUCCGCAGCCCGCCCUGACGUUAAUAUGCCUCUUCUACCGGACCUCCCCCGGUGCGAACAAGCGCGUACGUACUCUUUUGCUUUGCUUGGGAUCCGACGCCAACGCCAGUGCGGCAGCGAUGACGCUGACGGCGUGGCCGUGGCCGCGUGGGGCUGCGCCUGCGGUUGGGGGAAUUGACCAAUCGGUGGGUGCGGGGCUUUACCUGGCUGGGACGUGGAGGAUCAGCGGAACGCGGCCUGGUUUGGUUUCCUUCUUAUUUUCAAGCACAUAUCAUGUCGAAUAUUUAGAUACUAAUUUGAAGUAUUAAAUGUAAAUUAUUUAUAAAAUUCAUUACAUAAGUGGAGGCUAAACGACGAGACGAAUCUAAGCCUAAUUAGUUCAUGAUUUGACAAUAUGUUGCUACAGUAAAUAUUUGCUAAUGAUGGAUUAAUUAGGCUUAGAUUCAUCUCACCGUUUAGCCUCCACUUAUGCAAUGGAUUUUGUAAAUAGUCUACGUUUAAUACUCCUAAUUAGUAUCUAAAUAUUUGAUGUGACACGUGCUAAAAAUAAGCAAAAGUAACCAAACGCCCCCGCAAUCCUCGUCGGCUUGUCGCAGUCGCCAGUCGCAAGGUCCGGUCCGAGUCCGGAGCAAGGUUUUGGUGCAAAAAUAUGCGAGGGCUGCCGUAUGCACGGUAUGACUGGAUGGGGUGUCGUGUGGUGAGGCUGCCGGAUGCAGCUUAUCAGCAGCGUAUGUAAGUAGUGACGAGGAGCGGAGCAGGCAGGUGAAGUGGACUCGUGGAGAUGACGGGGGCCGUGGUGUGAAGGGAUGGGAAAACGGGGAGGGCGAGGGAGACGUCGCGUCAAGCCAUGCUCCUCGUCCGGACGCCACCGUCUCCACGGGCGGGGCGCCCACGGCGACGCCUGCCGGUGCACCAGACGCGACGCCACCGACUAAGAUUGGGGAGUUCCACAGUAAUCACCUUCGCUACCUUCUUUUAAACGGAUCACUUUCGCUGCUAGUACGUUCAUUGGUACAGACUACAGACGACGAGACCUCAGAACCAUGUGACGACCGCGGACAAGUGGACAAAAGGACAAUGGCACGCUUAUCUGAUUAUACUGUAGGAGUACGAGAUUGAGGGAGGUGGUAAGAGGACAACAAAGUCAAUGGAACAUAGUAUUCUUUUGAGGGGAGGCGGCAGUCUCAACUUUUUUAUUUUUUAGUCUUUUUUGAAAAAUUCUCACGAAUACGUCCCUGGCUGAAUCAUUUCAAAAUAUGGACCCUUAGCUUGGCGUCAUCCAUGCUGGCGCCAAGCUUACACGUCUCGGCGCCAAGAUCCAUGCGCAGCGGCUGACGCGGAUGCCGACGUGGUGGGGGCUUGACGCCAUCAUGGAUGGCGCCAUGGAUCUUGGCGCCAAGCUUGGCACCGAGCAAUUUACCCCAUGCCUCUCGGCGUUUCAAACGAAACAAGUAUAAUUAUUCCGAGGAGUAUGCAAGAAACUAUGUUGUGGUUCAACUGGCAGCCCACAUCCUAACCAGUUAAACCACAGCAUAGUUUCUUGCAUACUCCUCGGAAUAAUUAUACUUGUUUCGUUCAAAACGUCGAGAGGCAUGGGGUAAAUUGCUCGGCGCCAAGGCCUACGGCGCCAAGCCCCCGCCACGUCGGCAUCCGCGUCAGCAGGUGCGCAUGGACAUUGACGCCAGGAUGGCUGGUGCCGAGAUGUGUAAGUUUAACGCUAUCGUGGAUGGCGCCAAGCUAAGAGUCCAGAUUUUUGAAAUGGUUCCGCUAGGGAUGUAUUUGUGAGAAUCUUUCAUAAAAAUGACCUUAAAAAAAAGACGGAGCGGCAGUCUCUCUGGACUCUCGAGUUGCUUGUGCGUGGGAUGCAACGAAGUUGGCUGGAAAGAGAACUUUCCAUCCAACUACCUCUUUACCGACUUUGAGUGUGAAUUUACAACUGUCUCGCUAAUUCCUAUCGGAUGUCAAUUCACACUAUAUCUGGUUUCAGUAUGAGUUCACAAUCGUCUCCACCUCUUUCCUGUUGGUUCGUAUUUUAUCACUGCCUCUACUUGCAGUCUAUAGGUCCAUACUAUGUCUUAGAAUUCCACAUAGUAUGACCUUUGUAUUUGUUGACUCAUGUGGAUUUACAAAUAACAGUGUUUUCUAAUAUUCGAUCGUGAGCUAUAAAUCUUGGAGGAGAUAGCAUAUUUAACAUAUUGUAUUAUUACUGUGUUUUCUACUGGUAAGUCAUAUCCAGAUGGCUCUAAAAUAUUUAUCGGUUUGUUGUGAAUGUCAUUGUCCACGUGUUCUCUACAACGACGGGGACAUUUGGAUGCUAAUAAGAAUUUCAUCCAAUGCUUUGGCACGCCACUAUUAGUGUAUAAUAUAUGUGCUAGAUUUUUUUUAAGAAAAAAAAGGCACGAUUCUUGGGUGUUUUUUUAAUACUUAAUUCUUGGGUGUUAUAAUUAACUAACUACUGGGCCACUACUUCAAGCUGCACAGCCAAAGCUACCAAAGGGAAAAAAAUGCCAUUCCUGUAUUGCUUGAGGUAUCUGACCUUUCCCAACACGGGGGCAUGUCAUUGCACUCUUUUCUUUCUCAACAGUUUCCCCAACGGGAUUCGCCUAAAAAAGAUCCAUACGUUCCGUGACAUUUCAGCCUAUAAGCCGGUUGAAAAGCUGAAACGGCUGAUUUGUUGUGAGAGUAAAACACUGUUUGGAGGCUCAUAAGCCGGCUGAAUAAGCUGAAGCGAACAUGUCCCAAACGACAUCGUACGAAACACCCUAUGACACGUGGGUCCCAGUGGUUUAGGACGAUUGAUGGAGAACGCAAGUAUUUUAUUCAGGUGAGCGGUCAACGCCUCUCUUCAGUGGAGCACAUCCCAGACCUGGCUGGGUCCCAGCAGCCAGCACCCCAAGCGGCUGUCGGCUGGUUAUGUGUUGCUUGCUUGUUGAUCUUCCCUCGUCGGAUCAACGCAUGAUGAGCGAGGCCUCUCCAAUGUGCGCUCCUAUACGCGUUGGACCCGCUCCCAUACAUUGCGAGGUCGCUCCUAUCUGGAGGAGACAAAGAACCUGCAACCUCCAACUUUCUCUCCCCUAUCAUUGCUGCUCCCACCGAACCUGCGUGGCGGAGCCGUCGGAAUUGCUCCUGGGCGCCAUCGUCGAUCUCUGGCGCGCCGGCUGCAUCUUCGUCUGAGAUGCCAUCUUCAGAGCCGCGCCGAGGUCGAGCAGGUCCACAAGAUCUUCAGGCGGCUCGCCACCCUCGACCCCGCCGCUGGCCUCGACGCUCCAUGCUCGAGCCGCUGCAGAAGGUCGGAGAAGCCACCAAGAGGAAGUAGCAGCGACCUGGCCGUCGUUGGCCGCCUCCUCUUCCCCUUCCGGGGCGCCGGCUACAUCUUCGUCGAGAUGCACGAGGGCCGCACCAAGCUCGAGCUCUCCGGAUCUGAUGACCGCACGACACACGGAGAUGAGCCCACAGGAGAAGUGCGGAUGUCUCGCAGCCAGCCAUCUCCUCCAAAUCUAGCACCGUGCACUUCACAUAUGGCAACUGGGGGCUUCAAUUUGCAUGGAAUGGGAAUUUGUGAGGAAGCGUUGAGAAGGAUUGGAAAUAUCAGAGGUCAGAGAAAGGACGGUAUUCCGCGGACGCAUGCUGGUGGAAGAUGAAGAAGUCAGGGGAGGAACGGGUUGUUGGAAGGAGCCGAAUUUUUUAUUUACUAGCCGAAGUUAGGGUUGAUUGGAUAUUAGGUGUUAAACUUUAACAGUGUCACAUCGUAUGUUCGGAUACUAAUUAGGAGGACUAAAUAUGAGUUAAUCAUAAAACUAAUUGCAGAACCCUGUGCUAAUUCGCGGGAUGAAUCUAUUAAACCUAAUUAAUCCGUUAUUAGCAAAUGGUUACUGUAGCACCACAUUAUCAAAUUAUUGACUAAUUAGGUUUAAUAGAUUUGUCUCGCGAAUUAGACUCCAUCUGUGCAAUUAGUUUUGUAAUUAGUCUAUGUUUAAUACUCUAAUUAACAUCUAAACAUCCGAUACGAUAGGUGCUAAAUUUUAGUGGGGUAUAUCCAAACACCCCUAAGCCGGUUCUAGGACCAGGGUCACUCGAGCACCGAACAUCACUCAUCCUGUGGAAAAGAAAAGGUGCUCAAAAUCACGUCACCAUACCGUCGAUAGAGUUGACACAUAUGCGCAAACAAUCAGGUUGCCACGAGGCAUCCGCGGAUGCUUCCAACUGCAUGCCAGCUCCUAGGUUUGGCGCCUCUUGCAAAAACUCACGGUUUUUCGGUUUUUGCGGGGCGGCGGGGCGGCACUGGGGCAGGCAGGGCUUGUUUGUUGGAGUCGGACAACCUGAGAAAAAAUUGGAGAGCAGCGUGAAAAGUUGAUGGUUUUUGGUAAGUACGGAGAAAGCAUAUUUGGUUGGUGGCUAAGCUUGAGAUGCUAAUAAGAAGAAAAAUACACAAUAUAAAUGUGUUUUCUGAUACGUAUAAAUAUAUUUUCUUAUUCACGGACAUAUAUUAUUUAGCACACUUUCUCAUUUACUUACAUUGUAGAAGAAAAAAAAUUAAUAAAAGAAUUUGAGUAUGUAAACACGAUGAAACGAAGUUUUUUAAAACUGUUACAAUUAUUUUGUUAAGUGAAGCUUCCACUAUUUGCAAUGUGUUAAGCAGUAAAAGUAGUGAACCAACCGAGCCAUAAUAUUGUGGGAUCCAGCUUUUUUUUUUGUAAUUAUCCACCUUUGUCUGAAUGCUUAGCACUCGAUUAGCAGUCAAGCAGAGUCAUUCCCAGCCAGGUGCUCAUUUUCGAUUGCCUGGGCCUAAGUUUGUUGCCUGAACCAGGCAGUUGAUCAGGACAGCAUCCAAACAGGUGCCAGGCAAAUUACCCUCCACCCAGGCAAAUUCACUUAAGGUCACAACCAAACAGCCCCGCAGUGCUGCUUCGUUUAGCUGUGGUUCGUCAGUCAGGAUUCAGAAGUGACGGUGUGCGAGCAGAGUGGCCAGCGGCUGCAACGUUUUCUAGUGCUGUUCAUGUUCUCUUGGACUAGUACGAGUGAUCUUUUUGAGGCCUGCGCUGAGUGGUGGGGGCUGACUUUGUGGCUUCUGCGAGACGCUUGGGUCGCAGGCCAACCGGUUUAGGGUUUACAUGCGCGUAUAAACAAGGAACGAUCUCCAAUCAGUCAACUCAUCACAAUGGAAAUCUGUACAUUGUCAAUGCAUAUGGACACACAAAACCAGCAGUAAUUCCUUGUUCUGAGCUUUCUUGCCCUGAAUGAGUGAAGGCUUAUACUACGAUCAUGCACAAGCACAAAUGCACGACAGAGGAGGAGGAGCAGGUAUGUUGUAAAAUUGCCAACCUGGCUCCGUUUUGGGGGUCUUUCGGCGAAGAACAGAGCAGAGCAGGGUUUUUUCCCCCCUGAUUGGUGGGUUCAGUUUGCCGGGAGCGUAGGCCUGCACUUUGAGAGACAACAUAGACAGCGUCGCAUCCACCGUAAGUUGUUGGAGAACCAAACAAGGAAUCGUCUGCAUGGACCCCUUUUCGCAGGCCGUGUGCGGUGUGCCCCCAAGUGUCGGAUGCAACAAGUGCUCGCUGAGGCAACGCACACUGCAUGCACGCUAAGCUGGCGCCAAGCAAAGCAAGAGAAUCCGACCUGCCACAGCUACCGGUAUGUGUCUAUCCUGAUCUUGCGCUUGCUGGGUGAAUACACAAGCCCCAAAUGCCCGGCGCCUCCAAAAACAUAAACAGCCCAAGCACGAAUCCGCGGACGAUGACGGAUCACGGCGACAACGACAUGAAAUGAGCCGCAGUGUGCGGGCGAUGGAGACGGCCGGUGCUAACGGCUAGUGGCUGCCGGCCGCCGGUAGCACGCCGCGGUGCCUAGCGCGCUGGCAUGCGCUUGAUUUUGGCGGCGGCUCGGCGCCGAGAUGCUGCAGGAUGCGCAUCAAUGUUCAGUGCCAUGGCACGACUCGAUUGCUAGUGCCGGUUCAGCGCUCUGCUCUGGUGUGCUAGAGUAAUAGCCGCCCUGAGCUGCGCCGCCCGAGCGCCGAAGCCGCCGGCGGCUGCCACUUGGCGAGUCGGCGUGCCGGGAAUUCCAUAGAUUUUCCCGAUGGAAAACUGGCCAUACGCACCCACGGGGAGAAAUCCUCGUUCCGUUAGCCCGCGGGCACAGGUAAUAAAAAGGGCAGAAACGAAGGAAAAGUAGAUAACGCAGGGAGGGCGGCGCCGGCGCGCGCGCCGUGACUUGGAGAGAUUGUGGUGGCUGUUUCAACUCCAACCUGUGUUACGGUGUUACCUCAACGGUCAUCGAUUACGUAGACCUCUGCCCGCAGCAAACGAAAGGAGGAUGGACACGCUGCGGACGGCCCGGCCGUCUGAAUUACGGGCGAACUACGCAGGCAGGCGAAGUCAAAGGCCAUGUUCAUUCCGGCUGCAGAUUCACCCAAUUAGGACAUGUUUGGAUCCAUGGGUAAAAUUUUAGUUGUGCACUUUUACCUCAUUUUUUUAGCUCUGGGAAUCCAAACAGGUGGCUAAAGAGAGUAAAUAGUUAAAAUUUGGAUAAAAAAUGUUGCUCCCAAAGAGGUCCUAAGAGGAGCUAAAAGUGCUCCCGGAUGCCAUUAUUCCCCUGUUGUCCCCCUCCCCGCACUCCUCUCUCUCCUCCCCGCGUCACCCCUGCUGCCCCGCCGCCUCCUGCCCGCUCUGCUACGCCGCCGUCGCGCUCCUGCCGCCCGUGCCCUCGCCGCUCCCAUCCGACGGAGCAAUCGGCGCCGGCUAGCCCGGACCAGCUCAGCCCCGCCGUGAGGUGAUCGGUGGACUGCGAGAGGGAGAGCGCCUCCGCCUCAGAUCCACCGAACAAGUCUCUGAGCCCAAUCUCCCCCCACCCAUGCGCCCGCCGACGAUGCUCCGCUGGGCCACGGUGGCGCUCGUGGCGACGCUCCUCGCCGCCACGCCGGCCACCGCCUUCUACCUCCGCGGCGGAUCUCGACAGCCAGAUCCAGCGUGCCGCGUGCGUUUGUUCGUUGGGAGCUGCCUGUGUCUAUCGAGUUAAUUGCAAUAAGGGUUCGGGAUCUAGACAUGCAUCCUGCUGGCUGUUUUGCUUCUGUGUGGAGUAGUGUGAUCUUACGAAUUGCAUUUGGCUAGGUCACUUGUUUCAAAUCUCUCUGUGUUGAAGAAAAAUGAAUAUCCUCUGAUCUAAGCGGCGACGAUAAAUGCUCUAUAGUGCGCCUUACGUUUGAUUAACGUUUGUCUAAUCGAAUAUGUGCUGUGAGUAUGCUACAGUAUACCCUCUUACAUUCAAAAUAUUCCGUUAUUUAUGUUUUUGUCCACUUGGUUCCGGAAGGCGAUUAUAUGAAAUCAUAUAGUAUAUGGAGUGCACGUGCACAUGCAUGGGGCAAAUCAAUCAUUGUUUGAUGAAAGACUAAAAUUUAGCCCAUAGAUCCAAACAGCUCAGUGGGACUAAAAUUUAAGAGCUAAAAUUUAGGAGCUAAAAUUUAACCCAUAAAUUACUGAUCCAAAUAAACACCGUCUUAGUGUACGAGAUGUACAUGUCCAAGAGACCACGACCAGUAGUUUAGUUCCGGUACGGUCGGGCGCUGUUUUGCAGGAGCCGAGUCACGUGCCACUUGCAAAUCUUUGCAUUCCAGAAUCCAGAGUCCAGAUAAGAUUAGACAGAGAGAAUUUAUCGUGCGCAGAGUUUUACAUUUCUCUCCGACUUGUUUUAUUUUAUCUGACCUGCAGGUAACAGUAAGACAGGAACUUAACAAAAAAAAAACAAGAAAGCAUUAGCACUAGCAAUGCAAGGACAACCGUGUCAACCUUGGCUUUCAUUGAUGUGCACUCACUACAUAUAGAAGCAACCAUACAUGCAACGGCAAUAUGUGGAUUAUGUAGUGGUUUCCAUUAGUUUUGUCGGCGAAAAGCUUGGUGCCAACAGACCUUACCCACCUUCGACAAGAUGCGGUGAACUAACCUGCAGCCUGCUGAGGGGCUGACUGAUCAUAACUCUAGUACUCUACCCGUCAACUUGCAAUCUUUUUUUAAUCGCCGUCGUUUCGUCGCUACUUCAUAUCCCAAUCGCAACUAGUAGCAAGUUGGAGGCUUUAAUUGCUUGUUUUCUCGCCGAAUUGGCAAAUCGUCUAUUUAAAUGGCGAGGGAAGCUGCCACAGGCAGACGCCAGAAAACCGUCUGGUGACCACGAUUCACGAUGGCGCACCAUUUUAUCAGCAGUUCAGCACGCCACGCAGCCACCCGUGAUCCACCAGUGACGACACCAUGCCGCUACCCGGUGUUGGCCCAAGUCCAUCAAACGGAGAGGGACCCAGAGCAAGGCCCAUUUUUCUUUUGCUGGGCCUCAUAGAGCUGUACCAUGUCCUGCUUAUUUUACAUUCGGUGGUGGAUAUUUUAGCCCCAAAGUGCCAGGCCAAAACUCGCAACAAAAGCGUCGUAUAAGCCAUCCCCCCUGGCCCUCUCUGAUGAACAGCUGCUGGGCUCCAUGGGCAAACAGGAGCCAUGCCAACUCCGGCGAGGCAUGACUUUUAACUCGGAACAGUGCGGUCGACGCGACGCAUUUCCUUCCGGCCACUGUGCUCCUGCAUAAAGGCAAGCGGUUGUGAUGCGUGACCCAACAGGCACGAACUAUAGCCAAGAGGGGCGCCCCCCGCGCACACAUGAAGGGCAUCGAUCACACACUGAGCACGAACAGUGCCAUGUAUAAUUGGCCAGGCUGAACUGUCAAAGGAAGUGCUAAUAAGAGGUGCCUGCAAAGUCCUAUCUCGUAACAUGCUAGCUUUGUACGUGAUGUCCUUGACAAACCCAUAUGGAAGGCUGUCUGAACAUAAUGUUGCAUUGUGUGUGUCCAACUGUCUACGCUGCGUCUCUCUUGAGACCAGGCCCCGGCCUAUCUCGCUUAACUUGCAUUGGGGGCAAAAUUCAGAAAAGGAAAAACGAGCAAUGAUGCAUGGUCCCGGAGAAACAAACGAUCGUGCAUGCGGCUCGCGUCUGAACAUAUGUAGUGAGCAGUGAGCUGAUGAGGUAUGGAGCGAAGAAAAAGGUUGCUGGAUGCCGUGUGCUACGGAGAAAUGUCUAGUUCUGCUUGUCAAGAAUUGGUCACCUCUCUCUCUCUCCAUCGAUCAAGCCAUCACGAGGAUCAAAACUAUACGCGCCAUACCAAAUUGCUAAAAAAAAUACUCGCAAAAAAAAAGCUAAAAAAAUGGCAUAUUUUUUGGUCAAGGAAUAAUACGCAUUUGGACGGAGAAGAGAGAUUCUCUGUGUGUGUGCCUCCAGUUUCAUCCUUCGUUUCAGAAAAAAGUAAAGAUUCUGUGCAGUAAUGAGUGUUCCCGGUUUCCUGGGUUAGUCUCUGGUCGUCUGCAUGACGUCGUGGCUGGGAGACAGAGACCAUGCCCCUAGCGACGACUACAUCACUACACCCAUGCGGCCAUGCCUACGUGAAAGAAUUCACCCAGGAAACGUAACAGUAUACAGGAAUAUACUGGACAUAUAUAGGAGGGUUUCGAAUAAGGAAAUGUUUAUACACAACCUACACAAAUCGACACGCCCUCAUCCAUGGACCUGACGUGCACUUCAUAUCUACUACUACUAGGUCAUAUCUGUACGUGCGUAUCGAUCGCUUUCGAUCUCCACGCUUUAUCUCCAAUCAACAAGUCAGAUCACGAGUGGUGUUAUAGCUCUCUGGUAGCCGCGCGGCAGUGAUGUAUAUUCAACACAACGAAGGGCGAGACGUCACAGCAUGCCAGGUCGCGCAAAUUCAGCCCAGGAAAUGAGGGAUCUGGCCCCUGUCACGAGCCUCCUGUAUGGAACUCCAGCCAGGUCGCCAGGAGGCACCGAGGUAGGAGUAGGCUAUACCGGUAGGCGGUAGAGAUCAAGAGCAGCCAGUCUUUAACCAAUUGCUAGGCAUCGAUAGAUUCCCGGGAUCACCGAUUCUCGCUCGAUCGCUCUGCAACACACAGCAACGCGCGCCUUCUCUACCCGGGAAAUGGCAUACGUAUAUACAGUACAUAUGCAAUUUCUACAAAGUCGACUGUGUGUACCAGUACUAGUCCAGUACUGCUACAUGUGCGUGCUUAAUUAUCGUCACAUGUUGGACUAGCUUUAUUAGUUCGAAAUUAGUUUAAUGCUUUACCUAAAGUAUAAUGAGGGGGCUAUAUGGAAAUAAAGUGAGGAGAUAUUAUUUGGAAGUACUCCCUUCCGUUUCUAAACAUAUGACGUCAAGAUAAGCUAAUAUGAUUGCCUUGUCCCAAACAUCAUCCGAGGGAGUAAUAAAAAAAAAAAAUACUACCACAAGUCAUCCACGCAUUGAAUCAUAUUUACUACUAUCUAUAUCUAUUUUUGAGAGGCACUAAGCAAAAUUUCUUGAAACCACUAAUUCAUUUCUUUUUAGUUCCCUAUUUGUUCUGAAAUAUACAGUAAAAUGUUCUGCAUGCCAUUUUAAAUCAUCCUAUAUUUUUCUAAGUUUGACUUAAAUUAAUGUAUUUUUUAAUAUUUCAAAAGUACCAUCUUUAGAAUGUUAAUUUAUGAACUUCACCAACUGUAGGAAAAAAUAAAUUUAUUCGACUACUACAAUAGAAUUAAGACCUCAUAAUUUUGAUCCUUUACAAAUAAUAUUUUCGCAAAAGCUCCAAAAAUUAGGUCAUCAUGUUCUAGCCCUGCAUCACCAUACGCUCGUUCAUAAUCAUAAUAUGGUUUUAUUUAGUCUUGUUUUCUUGUCAAAUAUGGAUGACCUUACGCUAAAGGGCAUUUUGCUCUAUGAGCUAAGCGUGGCUCCAUUCAGUUAUUUAUGUUCUUCAUGGUUGAACCUAUGUCGUCUAAUUAUUUUUUAUGGUAUGUGAUGUGCUCACUGACGGUGAGGCACAUUUCGAUCCCAAAAAUCUUCCUACAAUCUUCCUACGUAGUGAGUGAACUUCACUGCCACUUUUUUGGUCCCACUUCGCGCACCCUCCACUUGCUUUCCAGGGCUCUAGUUAUAUGUCCCGGCCUAACACUAACCCAUCACAUUGAGUUGCUCCUGUUGUGACACUUCCCACCUCGGUCGGUGCCUUGGUCGCACCCCCACUGUCUUAUUGGUGACAGCCCCAUUCAUCCAUCUACAUCCCUCUCGUAUCCUAAUAAACACCGUCAAUCCACCACCUUAACCUCAAAGUCCAUGACUCUAAACCGCUAGGGAAAUCUAAUCUCACCAGAGAUGCCAAGAUGGGCAAGUAGAACAUGACAGAUCUUGGCGUAGUCAAAAUAGGAUGGAGGAGGAGGAGGAAAGAAGGUUCAGUUGUCAAACGGAGGAGAAAUUUCAUGGUGCUAUUGUUUAGCUUUCCCUUGCUAAUAAUAAGCCACCAAUUUCCUUGUACCAAACCUUGAAGAAAUUAGAUAUCUUGACGUGCCAUUCCCUACAUGCAUAAAAUCUUGGGAGGAUUCAGAACUCUACAGGGCGUGCAAUUGUGCUGACUACUACUGCUGACAGAAAAGUAGAUGUAGAUACAUCUAUGCGCAGCAACGCCGUACCCGUCAUCAAGUAGCUUUAUUUCCAUGUAGACCCAGCUGUACUCGCGAGAUGUACAGUACCAGUACGCAUACACGAUUGGCCAUUCGCUGGAGUAGCUUUAGCAGGGCCCACGCUAAUCGUGCACGAAAGGAACUGGACUACUGGAGUUAAUUUCCGGCGACGCCGUACCCGUGCAAGCGGGAGAGAAAGAUCAGGAUUCAGGAGGAGGGGGUUGUGGUAGCCUGGUAGGAAAAGGGACGCACGUCUGGGCAAUCCAAACCCGAUCGCCUAUGCGCCUGCCUAGUCUACUCCGUAGUUUCAGCUCCCAUCAAGUCUUGGCGCCCCUCAUUGGAUUUGGACUCGGCCACUUGGGGGCAACGCUUGCUUUUUUGAGACGCCAGGCCACCCACCCAGAAAUAUCUAGACCCUUUCCUCUCCCGGGCCGCAUCGCCCGUCGCCCCGGCAAUUUGCUGAUUUGCCUCGCUACAACCUUUGCCGCUCGUUUGCAACAAAUCUGUAUGCGAUCUAGACUUUCCCCAUUUGCUCUCGGCGCCCCUUUUCUCGAUCGGCGGUGGACUAGGACUCCUCACCGUGCCGCAUGCCCCUGCAACCAAUCUUUUGCUUGGAUUUGGUCCGGCCAUUCAGGGCACGAUUCAAAGCGCCCCGGCCGGCAUUUGGAGAUGCCGGAGCGGGGCGUGCGCAGCGCGAAGGAAUAUUGACGCUUUUUGGGGUGCGGAGGCCGCAGGCAGGCACCAGGCAGCAUGGGAGCCUGUGGUGGCAACGCAACACGCAAGGCAAGGGGAUGGGAAUUGGGGAGGACGAUGCGUGGCGCGCGCUUGCCACAACCGGUCGCAUUCGCGUUUCCCGUUCUGGCCGGGGCCGGGGAACCGGCCGGCGCGGCCAGAUCGCUAUGCAGAGCGUGCUUUGUUGGUGCUCGCGCUCGCGGGCGCCUAGCCGCCUAGGACGAUGACGGCUGCCGGUGUUCGUUGUUCGUGAUUUGUAUUCGUGUGCCGGGUGUGCAAUCAUGCCUCGCCCUCCCAAUUCUGAUCAAACGGCACAGAGUCGCCUAAAGAAACUACUCUGUCGCGAGAUUAUAUACAUCGGUAGUGUGCGUACCACGUACCGGCAUCAUAUAUGUAUGCAUGGUACAUUAGGGCACUGUGCGCGUUGUUCGGCCGGUGCAAAAAUUGUUCAGCCACAGCCACGGCUGCCUCACCAAGCUAGCCUAGCCCUGCCACAAAGCUGGGGGCGGGCGCGUACCCGGUAAAUGCGCGUGUGUCAGCGAGGGCUCGCGAUGGAGUGGCAGUACCACGGAAGAGACAACCAAUGCCGGCCUCGCCCGCCCGCGCAUGCAUCAGCCUAGGCUGCGCGCCGUGGAUGGACGAGGACAUGAGAACCUGAGAGGCCUCCCGUCUCCUGCGCCCUAGUAGCAGUACGAGCUAGAGCGCGGGUGCCAGCGCCCAGCGGGAGUUUAUGGCCGGAACCGCGGCCUCUCCCUCGCUCGCUCAUCAGUCGCUCGGUUGCAGGGUGACCGGCGAGGAAAAUCCGCGUACGGCCGCCGCGUAUCCCGAUGCGCGCGCUCCCCUGGCUCGGCACGAUCAGGUGGAACCCCACCUGGUGGCUGCCGGGCGCUGGCACGGUCGCAUGGAUGAUGGAUGGAUGCUUGGCCUGGCCCAGUGGAAGGGAAGAGACGGUGGUUGGAGGAGGGAAGGAGCGUGGGCGAUCGAAGCGGGCGAGGACAAGGAUGAAAAUGGGCUGGUUUCAUGACUCCCGUGACAGGAAUGCGCGCCAGUCCACAGCCGACACGUAGCUCAGCCUACGGUGGUGUCUCGCCUAGGACGUACACCCUCCACCACUCUCUUUAUCUCUCUGGCCUGUACUGUGUUUGACAUGGCUCCCGCUCCUCCUCCCGUUGAUGAGUGUGAGUCCUUGGUGGUGUGACUGCUGGAUCCUUGAAGUAUCAGAAAAAGCUGCUCUUACGACCAGUUUAUUUAAACAAUGGAAGAGACUUACGACCAGUUUAGAAUCUUCGCCGGGGAAAGAAAACGAUGGCUAAGGCGGUGUUUGGAUACACCCUCAUAAACUUUAACUUAGUACCUGUCACAUCGGAUGUUUAAAUACUAAUUAGGAGUAUUAAAUAUAGUCUAAUUACAAAACUAAUUGCACAGAUGGAGUCUAAUUCGUGAGACGAAUCUAUUAAGCCUAAUUAGUCCAUAAUUUGACAAUGUGGUGCUACAGUAACCAUUUACUAAUGAUGGAUUAAUUAGGCUUAAUAGAUUCGUCUCGUGAAUUACUAUAGGGGUUCUGCAAUUAGUUUUAUAAUUAGCUCAUGUUUAGCCCUUCGAAUUAGUGUCCGAACAUCCGAUGUGACCCUCCUAAAAUUUAGCACCUCGUAUCCAAACACUCCCUAAAGUUUGGCAGAAUAAUUUGGCUUGGACACGUUCACAUUCUAUCAGUCAUACACAAACGUGUACCAGAUCAGUUGAAUGGUUUUCUCCUUGAGAAAUGAAAAGAAUAAAUAUUAAGAGCUAGUCGUAUUUUUUUCGUUGAGAUUUAAAGAUCAAAUAAAGAGUGAAACAAAUUAAAGAAAAGAAAAAACAGUUCCCUGAAGAAUUAAGGAAACCGCCCAUCUACCCAAACAGGGGUGAAGCCACGUUCAGCUUCCCUUGUGCCCAUGCACCAGGGUCAGAAAUUUUUGUCCACUAAUUAGGCUCGAAAUCACCGUACAAAUCAAGCAAAUUAUGAAAGUUCCUUGAGCAGUUUUAGGCCUAGCUUCGCCCCUUAUCCAAACACACUCAACAAGUGGUGGUAUAAAUGAAAAUUCCCCGUAGAACUUUAUGUUAUCUUUACUAUUAUAAGAACUUGUCUCUUUCUGUUUAGUGCCGUACUUGUACAAUUUAUAUUUCAAAUGUAAAAGAACAAAAAAACCUAUUGGCCUCCUGAUUAUCGUGCUGUUGCUCAGGCCAAUGCAAUUCAUUGAAUAACUCUGUUUAAACUUGCAUUGCAGUACUUCGAGAAAAUAACUUGCAUUGGCAGUAGCACCACAAAAAUAAAUCGUAAGAUAUGAGUUGUGGUAUGCUGGCCAACCCACCCAUAUAGCAUAAAAGCAUACUAGUACCAUAUUUUUGCGGAUAAUUAAUUGAUAACAAUUUUAAGAUUUUACAUUCCACUGAUAUGACCCAAACAGACGUACACAUUCUUUUCAUCUCCAAAAAGUUUUUUUUUUGGAAAUUGUGUUCUCCUUCUUGCACUAUUGGACAAUUGAUCUUUAGCACCGAUCAGUAACCCCCUUAGUACCGGGCACCUGACAGGUACCGCUUGGUUAGUCUUAAAUGGCGUGCCGGUACUAAAUGCGCCAUUUAGUACCGGUCGGUAGUACCAACCGAUACUAAAAUGCGAGCUACGUCACGCUGUUGUGGAAGACAGUUUAGUACCGGUUGGUUUUAUUAACCAGUACUAAAUGGUUAUUCCUUUUCUUUUUUUUUCCUUUCAUUUUAAUUCGUAUUCAUAUUCCUGUACAAUAUUUGUUUGCGUAUAGUAGUAAUAUUACGCUAAUAUAUAUUAAUCUAGCAUAAUAAAGGUUACAUAUAUUAUAUUUAUACAAUUUAUAUACACUUUAAAAGUUACAAGUAUUCCGAAUAUGCACUACAUGUCGUCAUCUGAGUCCCUGAUUGGAUGAAGUUGACCCACACUUGUUCCAUCGUAAUAAAAUUCUCCCUUUGGAUUUAUGACCUCCUCCAAAAGGAAUCCACAUAGUUGUUCCUAAAUUGCCCUGAGUCAUUCUGGGGCGAUGAGUUCUUCUCUCAUUUCAGAAAUCUGUCACGUGCAAAUUAACAUCAUCAUUUUAAACAAAUAUAUGUGUAGAGUGAAAAAGUUACGAAUUGUGUCUACGCACUUUGUAUUCUUGGGUCGUAGUUUUCUUAGGACCUACAAAGCUGUAGAUUAACUCACAACAGUAGUAUCCGCAUAAGUUGUUUCCAUCCUCCUAUCUCAAAUACUAAAUAUGGAAAAAGGAGUUAUGAAAUAUUCAAGCAGUUGUGAUUUUUAAAUAAAUGACACUAGAUGUUCAAAUUGAACUCAUACCGGAAAGUUAUCCUUGAUAUGAAGUUGUUCCUUGAACUGUCCUGUGUGUUUUUUAUGAAGCAAACCCAUACCCUGUUAAGCACGUCUAUGAGGCUUUGGUACGUACUCUGCUUUUUGUCUCUUCUUCAGGUCCAGCACCGUGACGUGGCUUCAAUCAAUCUCGAUGGCAAGCAAUAUCCAGUGGAAGCUGUUCAUAUACAUAUACACAAGCAAUGUUAGAUAUACUUAUUAUUAACUUGAACGGAUGAAAAAAAGGAUGAAUGACUCACUUAAAGUUGUAUGACAAAAGUAUGAAUUUCAUGUGAUGCUGCUUAUCGAGGAAGUUGAAAAUAGUCUUCAUGGUCCUAUUUGGCCAUUUCAGUAAGCAUUCCUCAUUUAUAACAUGCGGGUCCAUGAAGCCGACAUGAUAGAUAGUUUUUCUCCAGCAAUGUUGAAUCUCCAUUCUGCAUGAUACAAAAUAAAAGAGGAGAUGAGACGACACACAAUUAAUGUAGGAGUUAGGAUGUAGAAAUCAAAGCAAACACUUACAUAACCCAUGCACUAAUGAGGGACUUGUCAAGGGCGUCUUGAUGGUACAAGUAAUGAAGACUUUCAAACUCAAUCCAUAUAUCAUCUGGCCCUCGAAAGUAAUCACGAUCUUGAACUCGAGCAGCGAACAUGAUCCGUCUAUCUGCAGCUGCCUCCAUGUACCAUUUAUGAAAUGCAUACAUUUUUGUUGGCAGGUGAGGCACCAAUUGUGGCCGCACAAGAGGUUCCCCCAACUUAAACUCCUAUUUACCAGCACCUGGGUGAGUUUUGAUAUCGUCCCCCCUUAGGAGUUGCUCUUUUGUGAGAUUGGUCUCAACAAUCCAUUGAGCUAGAAUCUCAUCUUCUUUUGAAAGCACUUUGAGCGGAUUGAUCGAUUGUUGAGAUUGUUCUCCGAGCUGGGGAAUGGUGGACCGUGAUCAUUUUUUCUUCUCAAAUGACUUUGUGAUUGAGCGGUCAUAGUCUGAGAUGGGUUCUUUCACCACUUUUUUAACCACCAGGGAUUUAAAGUAUUUCUUCGUUGCUUCAUCAAUUGGUGGUUCCUCGAGUGUCUUCUUUGGCCCGAAGUGAGCAUCAGCCUCAACCAUAGAUAUCGCAUGACUUUCCUCCAUAGUUCGUUCAUAUGGAAGCUUCGGAGGUGGAGGCUUUGCUUUCUUAGGAGGUGGGUUCUUCUUCUGCUUCGGAGGUGGCGGGACCAAAGCCUUCGAGUUUUUCUUCUUAGGAAGUGGAGGCUGAGAUAACGCUGGACUCAUGCUUUGGUCCCUUGUAGCUAGUGGGGAUGAUGGAUUCAUGCUUUGGUCCCUUGGAGCAGGUGCAUCCCUGGAUGGUGGCGUUGGUGAUUUUUGCCUUGAGAUCUAAGGGGAUGAUGCGAGAACUGUGGCUGCUUGCAGAAACCUUAUGUAGCGCUUGGCCCAACAAAUCCAAGUGUGGAUGGCGUGUCCCAGUUUUGUUUCACCAUCGCUACCAGGGAUCUUGUGGUCCAGGUCUUCCCAUCCUGUUUCCACUCAGUCAACCUGGACUCUAGCAUAUCCUUCAGGAAUCUGCAUGCCAUGAAUCGUCCCGCCUGGUACCGGUACUUUAGCAAUACCGUGAGCCACUACUUUGACCAUUUUUCUCACCGGAGUAAGAAGCUCAUAUGGGGUCCUCACAGUGAUGUCAUCCACAGGGUAGUGUUGGUUGUUGUCCGCAACCAUGUCAGACGAUUCCUCUACUGCUUGGAACUCCGUGGAAGCGAUGCUGCUAUGACGCUGGGAAGCGGGUCUUAUUAUGUCCACAUUAGCACCUGAUGCAGCUCCUACUUGGCUAAGUGCUAACGCCUCUUGAAGCGGAUCCAUUCUUUCAUUAGUUGAAGCUACUUGUUCUUCUAGGAUACGCAGCUUCUCUUGCUGCGGCCUUGCUUCUUCUUCGACUUCUGUAAGACUCGAUAUCUUCACUAAAGCCUUUUCUUCCAUGGAACUACACCCAUGCCUCGGACAUGUCCAGUGUGUUCCGGAUUCCCAUGUGCAUAAGUCAGCUUGUCUUUCUCUUUGUUAGGCUUGACAUUUCCUUGCCUUUUAGCCUUUAGUGCAGCUUGCAACCUGGUGAAUUCUGCUAUUAUUGAAUCGGUAGUAAUAAAUGAUCCAUCUUCCCUAUUUAGUGUGCCGCCAUGAGUGUAGAAAAAGUUCUUUGCUUGCAAUGGCCAAUCGAGAGUUGCCUGCACGAUUCCUAUUGCCAUUAGGUCAUCUUCCAUCCUUUGCCCUUUCGGCAUCGUCGUCUUAUAACCUCCUUGGCCAAGAUGAUGAUAAUGUUUCUUUUUGCUUGCAUUAUCUUUAGCCUUUAGAGCUCGUGUUUUAACAUCUUUCGACAACUUGUAUUGCUUGAAUGCUUCCCAAUAAGGUGCAAGCUUCUGAAACUUGUUCUCCAAAUCUGGUUUGAUGCCCUUCUUGAUAAAGUCUUUGUGCAAGUUUUUCUUGUACGUCUAGAAAGCAAUUGCCAUCUUCCUAAAGGCAAAUUCCUUCAGUUCUUUUGCUUUCACUUCUAGAUAUGUGAAGUGCAGUAUCAACUAUUGCCAACACAAUUCCUUCUCUCGCUUAGGGAUGAGGUCUUCAGGUGCAUCAGUAAGUGCGGUUGCUCUCCAUUUUAAAUGCUUAUGGGAAUGUUUUCCCGAACAACAUACCCACAUUGAUUGACAAAUGUCGUUAACACAUGAGGGGAGCAAUUGGUGCACCUUCCUCGUCCACUUCUUUGAUGAUGGUACGCCCCUCCAACUUUUCUUUCCCGCCUCGUUUCUGUUUAGGCCUCAUCGAAGAUGCAGAUGGCUACAAAAAAGAUGCAUUAAUUAUAACCAUUGUUGAUAGGUAGAAAUUUGAAAUCAUGUACAUGUAUAUUGGGAUUCAUAUACCUCAGCAAUUUCUUCCUCCUCUUUAACUGGAGCAUCAUCACCUUCAUUACCAGUCAUAUUUAGGUAUUGGCUGCCAUCAUCCUCUUUGCUUGAAGCAUCAUCUACUUCUGUGUUGUAGUUGCUGGCUUCAUUACUAGUAUUUUGAAUAAACUCCUCUUCGUCCCUGUCUCCCAUUUUGACUAGUAAAAGAUAAAACAAGGUAUUUAGAAAGUAAUUCUAAAUAAAUAAUUUCUUAAUGAUUUCUACCAAUUUCCUAUAUUUUGUAAUCGUUUUCUGUAUUAUUAUAUUCCAUAUUAACAAGUAAUUCUAACCAUUACUAAAAGAAAUAAUUAAAAAAGUAAUUAUAAAUAGAAUGAAACUAAAUUCAACAAAAUAAAUAAUUAUAGGCAUCAUGUAAGUAAGUUUCCAUGCCAUUUUCUAGUAAUCUCGAUGAUUUCUACCAAUUUCCUAUAUUUUUAUCUUCCAUAUUAACAAGUACAUUACUAAAAGAAAUAAUUAAGAAAGUAAUUGUAAAUUGAAUGAAACUAAAUUCAACAAAAAAAAAUAAUUCUAGGCAUCAUGUAAGUAAGUGUCCAUGCCAUUUUCUAAUAAUGUCAAUGGUUUCUACCAAUUCAUUAUUUAUUUUCUAAUUUCUAGUUGUUGAUGUCAUCAUAGGACUUGCUAACGUCAACAAUUGGGGUGGGGGGUUAGUGUCAGUGUUUUAGACCAACAACCCACCUAGGGAGUACCAAAGAUGGUCUUUUGUGUGGUGGGUGUCGUCGAGAAUCAAGAAGUCGAUGGUGAUGCAAGGAACACAAUUUAGAUAGGUUCGGGCCACUAGAUCGCGCAAUACCCUACGUCCUGUGUGUUGGUUGUAUUGAACUUGUGUCGAGUUGCACUUGUUGUGUUGUGAGCUUAGGUGAGCUGCCAAUCUAGGUAUUCCUGCCCUCCUUUAUAUACUACAGGGGGCAGGAGAACUAGUUGGAUUACAAGGAGGAGUCCUAGUAGGAGUACUCGGUAUGAGUCCUAGUCGGAUUAUAGGGAAAUCCUAGUAGGACUUUGACUUCUUCGUUCCUUACGGGUAUUGGGGAUCUAUCCCCGUCAAACCCCCGAGCGCUUCCUAGUUGAAUGCAGUAGUCUUCGAGUAGUCUUAAGAUAUUCGGCGAGUAGUCUUGGUGCUCUUUGAGUACUCCGUCUGAAUCUUCAAAGUUUCUCAAGGCUGCCAUGAGGCUAUGGUGUGCUCAAAGCCUUUGAUCAUCUUGAUAUGGUAGUCUUCAUAUAUGGAGCGCGGCGAAAGUCGCACUCCAUAUGGAGUAGCCCUCGAGACUUAGGUUGAAUCGAAGAAUCAGGCUGAGGGUCAAAAUCUUGAAUCUUCUUCUUUCGUCUUGAAAGAAAUAUUGGGUGUAGCUUAUCAGCCCCCGAGCCUUGAAUUGAUUGAGUAAUCAACUCAAGGAUCUUGAAUCUUGACUCAGGUCAUUAUCUGAGUAGUCUCGCGGUGACCAGCCCCCGAGCUUAUGCGCUAGGUGAGCCGUAGGAGCCUCGUCGAGUAGUUAUUGACACUUAGCCCCCGAAGCUUGGAAGCUAGUUGAGCCAUUGGAGAUAUUUCGAGUAGUGAUUGGCGCUUAGUCCCCAAACCUGGGAACUAAUCUGUGCCUUUGGAGGUACGCUUAGCAUCAUCGCUGAAGCUCAAUCUGAAAGAAAAGAUGCAUACAUUAUGUAGCAUUUUUGUAGGAUAUUGAAACUGCUGAAAUUUAUUCAGUCAUCAAUAUGAAAGUUGUGUGUCAUGCUCUUGUUUGGGUCAUAUUCUUCCCGAGUGGUUAGCCUGUUACGCUUAGGCUCUCAGUCUCCGUGUAGCCGUUGCCACUGCGUGUGUGAGAUCUUUGUCUCAGAUACGCGUAUGGGCUUAGGCGUGAUAGAUGCGCCUGAGGCUUUCACGAGUUAAGGUGUAUUCUGCUCGAGAAGAGUAGUGACCUUAAGAGAAGACAAAAGUGAGUAGUCGCUAUUUUGAUAAAAAGAGAGUGCGAUUGCGCACAAGAGUUUGCUGCCCUCCGGCGAGUAGAGCGCGUGUUGUGCGCGAGAGUUCGGCGAGUAGAACAUGUGUGGUGUGCAAGAGUUUGCUGCCCUCCAGCAAGUAGAGCGCGCGUUGUACGCAAGAGGAAAGCAAGCUAGAAAAUAGUUGGAAAAGAGACUUAGCUUGAUUCGUGGACGAUUGUUGACAAAGCCGUGGUGGUCAUUGAUGAAGCCAACUAGCCGGAGUUGAUUCCGACUAGUUGUCGAGGGUGCGAGACCCGCCCUAGACUAGUUUUCUAGUCGAGAUGGGGAGUCGAAGUUGUCGUCGAUGAAGCCGCGACAGUUGCUGGUGAAGCUGGUUAGUUGGAGUCAAUUCCGACUAGUUGUCGACGGUGCGAAUUCUUUCCCGACUAGUUUUCUAGUCGAGACGAGUAGUCGAAAUAGUCGCCGGCGAGUCGCCUAUUGAAGUAGUCGUCGGCGAGCGUCCCGACAUAGUCGGAGUAGUUGUCUUUGACUAGUAACUAGUCGAGACAAUUAGUCGAAGUUGUCGCCAGAUAGUUGUGUCCGAGUUGUCAACUGACUCUAGUCCGGAUUGGACUUCGAGUAAGGAUUGCUUGAUGGACCGCAGUUGCAUUGCGGAGUCCGAACGGAACACGACUUGGAGUUGUAGUCGGUCUGCGCGAUGACUUGAUUGCCAGCUCACAUGGACUAAUCCGAGCUGUGGUCGAGUCUGAGUUGUAGUCGAACUCGGUGUUUGAACAGAUCGAAAUUGUUGAUUUUCUCGACAAGAUCUUCUCGUUCUUGUCAAAGAGAGUUUUCAUCGAGAUGCUUCUUCUCUUAGUUGUUGAUGAUGCAGCAUUGGAAGGAUCAAGCACCGUCAGCAAUGAAAAACCAGGAGCCGAAGACGAAGAUUGUGUCCGCUUCGAAAAGCGAACACCAGCUUGAUGAUGACUGGUGCCAUCGAUCUUGCGCGGAGAAACUCAGCGACUUCCCCUACUUGGCGCGCUAGCUGUCGGUGUUUUAGACCGGCAACCCGCCUAAGGAGUACCCAAGGUGGUCUUUUGUGUGGUGGGUGUCGUCGAGAAUCAAGGAGUCGAUGGUAACGCAAGGAACACGAUUUAGACAGGUUCGGGCUGCUAGAUCGCGUAAUACCCUACGUCCUGUGUGUUGGUUGUAUUGAACUUGUGUCGAGUUGGACUUGUUGCGUUGUGAGCUUAGGUGAGCUUCUGAUCUAGGUACUCCUACCCUCCUUUAUAUACUCCAGGGGGUAGGAGAACUAGUCAGAUUACAAGGAGGAAUCCUAGUAGGAGUACUCGGUAUGAGUCCUAGUCGGAUUAUAGGGGAAUCAUAGUAGGAGUCCGACUUCUUCCUUCCUUUCAGGUAAACUGGGGAUCUAUCCUUGUCAGUUAGGGGCUUACGUACGCAGAUGAAGGGCCGAGGGUGCGGUGGCGGGGGCGAAGGCCGGAGCGCGGAGUCCGCGAUGAGGGCAGAGGCGGUCAGGCCGGGGGCGGCUGGCGCACGGCGAGGACGGGGGGCGGCCGACUGGGGCGGAGUGGCGGUUGGUGUCAGGGAGUCUGGAAUGCUGUGGGGGCAGAGUGCACCGCGGUUCUGGGGGAGCUUCGGGUGCGGUCGGACGUCAAGAAUGUCGAGGAGGAGACGAGGCUGCGGUCAGUAAGGAAGGGGGGCUUUUGGCCGGGGCGGCGGAUGGUGCUGACUUUGAGGAAGAGCGCUCCGUGUAGCAGGGUGGAGUGCGCCGCGAUGCUGUGGAGCGCCGGGCGUGACCGAACGUCGAGGAGGAGCCAGGGCGGUGGGUGACGGUGGACGACGACGGUGGGGGCGGUGGAGUGGCGGUGGGAUCGGGAGAGUAACGACUACGCGGCUAAGUGUUGGAGAAGAAGAGGGGUGGAGUUUUUGUAGGUUAGGCUAGAUUAGUACCGAGCGGAGGCCUUGCUCGGUACAAAAUGACUUUUAGUACCGGGCAACGCAACUACCCGGUACUAAAUUGAUGCAUUUAGUACCAGGCAAGACCACUGCUCGGUACUAAUAUGGCCAAAAAGGUGGGAGGCAAAACUGGGGGGAAUUUAGUACCGGGCAAGGCCUCCGCCUGGUACUAAUCUUCCCCCAACGUUUCAUUUCCUGCUAAUAUUUUCUUUUGUUAUUUCUAAAAUUGCUGCUAUAUUUAUUUUCUAUUUAAUAAAUGGAGUAACUUAGGAAACAAAAUUGAAAAAACUUUCAUACCUUAUUGUUGACUAUCUCUAUACCAUACAACAAUUUAUUAUAUAGUGAAAAUAGAAAAUUUUGAUUACUAAUAGGAUAUGAAAUGUUUCCAUACUGCUAUUAAUCCAAGAAAAAGGAAAAAACUACUAUUUUGAACAUGCAAAAAUAUUAAGAAAUAAUAGCUAUAAUAAAUUUAACAAUUAUACCAUCAGUAUACGAUGUACUUGUGUAAUUGUCUCUAAUUUAAUGUUUGAAGACUUUUGAUGAUCCAAAAUAGUGCAAAUAUUUAAUAUUUUGACCAUGCAAAAAUAAUUUAUGAAUUUGUUUUUGUUUUAUUUGAUUAAAAUUGUACAAAUAGUAUCGUUAAUCGAGAGAAAUACCACAUAAUUGUUCGAAUUGUACAAAAUACAUUACAUAGUUCAUCACAUGACCACAUAAUACCACAUAAUAUUAAAGUUCUAAACCUACUCAUAUAUCCAAUCUUGUUGAGGUUCACUAUUGUUAUCCCAUAACAAUCUUUCAUUACGCCUCCUCCAGCAACCCAUUGGCAGCAAAAUCGAGGGACCUUCAGAGGCCCAUAAUCAAGUUCCCAUAUCUCCUCCAUGACACCAUAGCAGCUAUCUUUAUUCCCAUUAUUGUCUAUUGCAACUAUACAAACAUCACUAUUUUGGUUGGUACUCUUUUGAUCUUGGGCUGAGGGAUAUUGGUAUCCCAUGGGUCCCUGCCGACCAGGAUACUGGCCGGACCUGACAAGUGGGUCCACCCGACCAGGGCGUACGGGUCGAGGACAUGAAGAUACUUGGAGUACACGUCAAGGCAAUAGGACAAUUCAAAUAAGCCCAGAUAUCGUGAAAUGUGUAUCCUAGUCCGACUCAGAUUACCUUCCAUGUAACUACCAAUUAGAUUAGAUUCAAACCGACUUGUAACCCUAGGUCGUCAACCUAUAUAAGGCAGCCAAGGGCACCUCCCGAGGGCAACCUAACACACCUCAUCUCAUACCAGCAAUACAAUCCACGCAUACACGACGUAGGGUAUUAUUCUCUAGAGGUCCAAACUUGUCUAAAACCCUUGUGUCCCUUGAGUUCUCGCGAUCACCUUCGAGUUCUUGGUUUUGCAAUCGCCCUCACCUAAAAAUCAACCACUUGGGUAACCCCGUGGUGGACUGCCGGGCUUAUAAAUACGACAAUUGGCACGCUAGGUACGGAUGAUUGUGAGAUCCUCCCCAGCGAGCUCGAUGGCAUCCCGUUCCGACGUUGUUUACUCCGAGAGCAUGAAGGACUACAUCGUCAACCCGAUCUAGAUUCGCUUUGGGACCAUGCUGACGGAUUAUGAUCCAACUGCUUCUUUCUUCGAUUCAGGGUCCAGCGCUAGCUCGGCUUUCGUCGGAUCUGCUGCGGCGGGACAAGUUCUCCACCCAAGGAUCAUCACGCCGCUUGCCCAGCAAGUCGGGAAUCUCUCUCUCUCUCUCUCUCUCUCUCUCUCGCCCUUCCCGAGAGGGUUCUAGAUCUACUCGCUGUCGGUCGCCCACCCAUAGCCUCCGACUUGAUCGCAGGGCUAGAUCACAUCAGUAGUACUAUUGUUGAGUUCAUAGAUCUGUCUGAGGCGGCGCUACAUUCAACAAGGUCGGCGUAGGGUCCGUCCCGUAUCCCCUUUGGAUUGUGGAACUCAGCUGUCGUGUACUCCACCAAACUCAACCAGGCUUUCUAGAUCCAAUCUGGAGACCUACCCAAACCUACCUAGUUUCUGGACUCUGGUGAAUUCCAGGUGCCCCGUACCAUCCUGACGCCAAAUCCCCAUGGAAGCAACGACAAGAGCAACUUCCCCACGCCAAUUCGCGAAGCCUUCGUGGUCUCCACUGAUGAACCACCCUAGGAUGGCGAAACUUCUUCUCAGGUUGGAGGCUGUAAUGCUAGGAACCAGGACCGCACGACACGAUGCCAACAGGAGCAAGCCAACACCCAGCAACAACCCGUUGUCAACGUGGAGGCAGUAGGCGACCAGCGUCAACCACCGCGCAACGAUCAUGAUAACGCGAACCACGGCGACGCCCUGGACAGAUGCAGGCGCCUUGCACGCUCCCACAAUUUACUAGCCGACCUCAAGGAGGCUGGCCACAACAUCUUCACUACACCGUAGGCCAACCUAGAGGCUGUGUACGCCGACCUGGAAAAUCUCCUAGACUCACACCCAGUUCAGUGGAUUCGGGCACGACUCUAAUUCACUAAUGCCUAGAUCAAGGAGUAGGCCAACAGCCGACCCGCACACUCUCAGUCCAUAGCCACCCGGCACUCCCAGAGCCAAUCCGGGAAUAGCAGAUCUAACCACCGCCGAGGCAACCGCGCGGGAGGCCGGAUGAAGCCAGUCCUCAAAGAAGAGGUGGAGCAGAACGCUAGCCCACCCGCCAAUGACAACGCCAACAACGACUGUCAGUGCGACAACAACGACAACCGCUGCCGCGGUAGGAGAGGCGAUGUUGAGGACCGUGGCCGACCAGGUCGGCAACGUGAUCUCCAUGAUGAGCUGCACGACCUCCUCAACCGCCGCGAUCUCAACAAUCACCACAAAGAGCAUGACGAGAAUGAGCUCCGCUGCCGUGCCUAGUACGACCGCGACUACGGCGCUCCUGGACUCAACCACGAUGCUAAACGCCGGUAUCACCAUCAUUAGGAGGAUGAGAUGCGUCGCCGCGCCGACUACGACCGCGUGUACGGUGCCCCUAAAGACACUUACAACCUGCCCAUGUGUGAUAACGGCAGACGCCCUAGUGCUCCACCCGUCGAGUACUACCUCAACGACAACGACACCAUGGUGAUCGAUGGCUUCGCUGCCUUCACUCCACGCCUCAAGGCUGUGGACUGGCCGACCAUAUUCAAGCCGGUCAUCAAUGAAAAGUAUGAUGGUCGCUCUGACCCCACCAUCUGGCUCAAGACGUAUAGCACCGCGGUGAAAGCCGCCAAUGGCACCUACGACCAGAUGGCCACCUUCUUCCCGGUGGUGAUGGGUCCCGCUCCACUCCUGUGGCUGGAGAAUCUCCCUCCGAACAGCAUUGAUAGCUGGGGUCAUCUCACUAGAGCUUUCACUCAGAAUUACCAGGCUACCUAUAAUAGACCUGGCAACAUGGAGAAACUUGGCCAAGUCCGCCAUAGGUCGGGAGUGACGGGUCAACAUCUUCGUGGGCCGCCCCAAUGCUUUUUGUAGCAACUGCAAGCAGAAGCUACGUGAGCGAGAGGUGCACUUUGUCUCCAUACAACCAGUCCAGUAUCCACAUUGGUCAGAGCAACCCAUAACCUUCUCCAGGCAAGAUCAUUGGGUCCACAUCCCAGAUCCCGGGUCCUACCCGUUGGUGGUCUACCCGACCAUAGACUGGGCCCUACUUCCCAAAGUGCUGAUCAAUGGUGGUAGCGGCCUUAAAAUUAUCUUCACAGAGAACUUGAAGCGCAUGGACUUCGACUUCAAGCGGCUCCAGCCCUGUGAAGAACCCUUCUAGGGCAUCGUCCCUGGCAGAGGGUCCUACCCGAUUGGCCAAGUUGUUUUGCCUGUCACCUUUGGCGCACAUGCCAACUACCGCACGGAGUACGUCACAUUUGAGGUGGUGAACUUCAAGACUUCCUACCAUGUAUUCCUUGGUAGGCCCAUGCUGGCGAGGUUUAUGGCAAUCCCGCACCACACCUACCUCGUCCUCAAGAUGCCAGUUCCAAACAGAGUCCUCUCCAUCUAUGGUGUCAUUGAGACAUCGUACAAUUGCGACGCCAAGGCACUUCAGCUCGCGGAAGCUAUGGAGUACUCAGCCAAGGCCACCGCUAUGGUGUCCGAGGCCUAGAAGAUAGACAAGAACCAGCUCACAAUCCCUGAGAUGGAGCCGAUGCCCACGAUGCUGCAGCCUGACCCUAAGGUCAAGAAGAUCUGCCUCGGCCUUUAAGACCCGACCAAAACGACCCUCAUAGGGGCCUACCUCUCCGAGAAAUAGGAACUCGCGCUCACCAGUUUCCUCCAUGAAAACUCGGAUAUAUUCAUGUGGAAGCCAUCCGAUAUGCCUGGUGUCCCCAGGGAGCUGGCUGAGCAUUCGUUAGACUUAUGCAAGACUGCACGAUUGAUCAAGCAGAAACUCCGCCGCUUCGCCUAAGAUCGCAAGGAGUCCAUUAGGGUAGAACUAAACAAGCUCUUAGCCACUAGAUUCAUCCAUGAAUCUAAGCAUCCUGAUUGGUUAGUAAACCCAGUUCUUGUAAGAAAGAAAAUCAAUGAAUGGAGAAUGUGCAUUGAUUACACUGACUUGAACAAGCUCUACCCCAAAGACCCCUUCCCCAAGUCGUAGACUCUUCGGCUGGGAGCAUCCUGCUCUGCUUCCUUGACUGCUACUCGGGCUAUCACCAGAUCGCCCUUGAUCCUGCCAACCAAGAUAAGACGGUGCUCAUAACGCCCUUCGGCAUAUACUGCUACAACACCAUGACCUUCAAGUUAAAAAACGCUGGUGCCACCUACCAGAAGGCAAUCUAGGGUUGCCUCGCAACACAACUGCAUAGGAAUGUUGAGGCCUACGUCGACGAUGUGGUGGUCAAGACAAAGGACGAUGAAAGCUACAUAGCCAACCUCGCUGAGAUUUUCAACAGCCUCCGAACUUACCGCUGGAAACUCAACCCCGACAAGUGUGUCUUCGGUGUCCCUUCUGGAAAGUUCAUGGGCUUCAUGGUCAGCUAGCGUGGCAUCGAAGCCAACCCCGUCAAGGUGGAUGCGAAUAGAAACAUGGUGAAACAAUCUAACAAGAAUGACAUCAUGAAGCUUACUAGCAUGGUGGCGGCCCUUAGCUACUUCAUCAACAAACUUGGAGAAAAAUGUCUCCCCUUCUUCAAGCUCCUCAAAAAGGGUGACACGUUCGAGUGGGACGACAAGGCCAGCAAGGCACACGAAGAGCUCAAGGCUUUCCUCACUACUCCUCCCAUCACGAUGGCCCCGGCCGACCAAGAAACGCUGUACGUCUGCAUCUCUACAAUAAUGCAUGUUGUCAGCACUGUGCUAGUUGUGGAGAGCCAAGAGCCCGACCAUACACACAUGGUGCAGCGACUGGUGUACUACGUCAGCGGGGUCCUCAGGGACUAUAAGAUCCGCUACUCAUAGGAUCAGAAAUUGCUCUACGCAUUUCUGAUUUCAUCAAGAAAGUUGCGCCACUACUUCCAGACGCACAAGAUCCGGGUGGUGUCAUCAUACCCCAUCGGUGAAAUCUUCCACAACAGGGAUGUCAACGGCUAAGUUAUCAAGUGGUCUAUGGAGCUCGGCGAGUUCGACCUCAAUUUCUGCCCACGUCAUGUGAUCAAGUCGCAGAUCCUAGCCGACUUCGUGGCUGAGUGGACGGAGAUCCAAAAGCUACCCUCCCUAGAGAGGCCUGAACACUGGACUAUGUACUUUGAUGGUGCCCUGAACCUCAAAGGAGUCGGUGUAGGGGUCCUCUUUAUAUCCCCCAAAGGCGAGCAACUCAAGUACGUGCUCCAGAUCCACUACAAGGCUACUAACAACGGCGCCGAGUUUGAAGCUCUCAUCCACAGCCUUCGCAUCGCCAUCUUCCUCGGAAUCGAAUGCAUCCUUGCGUAUGGCAACUCCAAGGUUGUCAUCGAGCAAGUCAACAAGAACUGGGACUGCACCAAGGAAUCCAUGGAUGCUUACUGCACGAAAAUCCGCAAACUUGAGGCCCAUUUCGAUGGCCUUGAGUUCCACCAUAUCCCUAGGAACCAUAACGUCGCUGCCGAUGUCCUGUCUAAGCUUGGCUCCAAGCGUGCGUAGGUUUCGGCUGGCGUAUUCAUACAAGACCUCCGAAAACCUUCUAUCAAAACCCUAGACCUAGACCAGGUCAACGAUGCUGGCGCUCAGGCUCCGGCCUACCCAAAAUCCACUGACGUCAUGAUAAUUGAUGCAGAAGAAGAUUGGUGCGCCCUAUUCAUAGCCUUGAUCAGUGAUCAGAUGGCUCCAAUGGACAAAAUAGAACAUGAAAAAUUAGCUCGAUGUAGCGCAAACUAUGUCGUUAUCGGCAAGGAGCUCUACAGGAAAGCUGUAUCUAUAGGCAUUCUGAUAAAGUGCAUUCUAUGCAGCGAAGGCCUCAAACUCCUGCAUGAAAUCCACUCGGGAACAUGUGGCAAGCACGCCGCCUCGGGCACUUUGGUCAGCAAAGCCUUCCAUUCUAGUUUCUAUUGGCCAACAAUGGUACCCGAUGCAGAGUUGCUCGUCCAAAGGUGCAAAGGGUGUCAAUUCUUCUCCAUGCAGCAGCAUCUGCCGGCUCAGGCCUUGCGCACCAUCCCACCAUCCUGGCCCUUUGCAUAUUGGGGACUGGACAUGGUCGGACCCUUCAAGACCGCUCCAGGCGGCUACACGCACAUCUUCGUGGCAGUUGACAAAUUCACCAAUUCGAUUGAGGUCGAGGCUAUCACCAGCAUUGAGCCGGCUAAAGCCACUCAAUUCGUGGAGGAAGUUACACACCGUUUUGGAGUGCCGAACAGGAUCAUCACCGACGUUGGCAAGCAAUUCACAGGCUCCGAGUUUUGGUACCAAGACAACCUCAUCGAUGUGUACUACUCCUUAGUAGCGUGCCCACGCUGCAAUGGUCAAGCUGAACGCGCGAACGGGAUAGUCCUCCAGUCCCUCAAGUCAUGCAUCUUCGACGAUGCAUCCAAGUAUGCCACCAAGUGGCUACACGAGCUACCCCAUGUCGUCUAGGGCCUACGAACACAAAAGAGCUGGGCUAUCGAGUACACCCCUUUCUUUAUGGUGUACGACUCAGAGGAUGUCCUACCAUCUAACAUGGCUUUUGUCUCCCCAUGCAUCCAGUACUACGAGAAAGGUGAGGCAGAAAUAAGUCGGUAGGUCGACAUCGACAGCCUUGAAGAGCAUCACAUGACGGCCCUCAUCUAGCACGCACGCCACAAGCAGUAGAUACGGCGCUACCCCAAUCGUAAUGUCAGGGAAUGUUUCUUCAACGUUGGUGAUUUGGUGCUUCACCGGAUCUAGUCUACCAAGGAUGUGCACAAGAUGUCCGUCCCCUGGGAGGGCCCCUUCAUCAUCAAAGAAGUCAUCCAGCCAGGAACUUAUCGACUCCAAUGGGCGGACAGUUCAAGCGUCCCCAAUCCAUGGAACAUCGAGCACCUACAACGCUUCUACCCUUAGGAUUCACAAGCUAUGUAUUCUACUUUUCCCUUUUCAUUGAAUUAGUACAACCUCUGUGGUUCUUAGCGUACCUACUGCCUUACUAUUCCUUUUACUCGAGCUGUUCCUGACACUCGGGGUCUAUCCGACCUGUUUAACAGCCCGCUCAUUCUCAAGCUCGGGGGCUACCCCUAGGCGCUAACCUCCGGGUCCUGCAUCUUUCUCCUUCCCCUCUCGAGGCAAUACGACUAACUCGUGUGGUCGGUGUCCCAGCUCACGAAACCUAGACAACCUUGCGUUCACCCCCCCUACAAGCUCGAGAUCCAGUCUCAGCAGGACGCUGGUCACGCAAGGCUAGGCGCUUAGCGACUAUAGGCCUCAGCUACAUGCUGUCCUGUUGUAUAUACCAAGGGAGGCAUGGAGACUCUUUUUUCUCCGCAUACGGUUAAGUUAAUUACAUAACUUGUCUUUUAAGACAAUUUAAUACACUGCAGAGGUACUGGUUCACCAGAUCAGGAAUCAAGUCCAUGUUGAAGUCGGCUGCGGCCCCUAUCGUAGCGCGCUCCAAGGGCAGCCACGGAAAGUAUGACACCAACAGAGCGAAGGCGUUCGUGACGCAUUCCAUCGCAGUUUCCUUCAACAGUGUCUUGAGUUGACCUAGUGCAGCCUUGAGAUGGUCCAGUAGUGGUGUUGGCGCGGUUGGGUCGGCAUCCGUUUGGACCAUGUCCAUCACAUAGCCGGCCCUUCCACAGAUCCUCUAGCUCCACUUGCAGCCCUGCAAUCACACGUUGGUCAUUUUAAAGAUUACUUAGAGCAGCCUCUAAGUAGCGCUCGGUUUCUUUGCGUGUGUUGGCUUCAUAGGCUAGCUUCUGCAAUAUUGCAUACUCACGCUUGACCACUGUGUCAUGCUCUUGCUGAAGGGGCGCAUUGGAGUCCUCACACUCCUUGAGGUACCGCUGGAGCCUGCUCCCUCAUCGUGGCAUCUGCUUACCCAAACAGGUCUACAUCAAUAUCAAGAUUAUAAGGAAAAAGCUGAGUAAACAAGUCGGCAUAGCCUACCUCUCAUGUGCGAAGUCAGAACAUCCUUCUCCAGGUCCUUCAGUAGGAGCUGGUCAGCGGCAUCUUCCUUAGCUCUCUUGAGCUCAGCCUCAAGGUGCUCCACCUUCAGGUGAUAGUGCUCGGCCCGCCGGGUCCCUUUCACCCUCUUCUGCACUUGUGCAGCCAAACCCUGUUUACAUUUCAACAUUUUGAGUUCUACAAGGAAACUGGAAUUCAAAUACAAGUCGGCAGAUGCACUUACAAACACCAGCUCGCCAACAUCCAGGAAUGCUUUCCACAUCUUGAGAAGGUCUUCCUUAUCCUGCGCCGCAUCCUCAGGUAAGUCCAUGUCAGAGAAGUCAUUGACGUCAGACUGAUCUUCAUGCAGUACACCAAGAUUAGCAUCCUCGGCGGACGUCUCUGGUGGCAUGUCAUCCUUGGCAGCUCAUUUUAUUGAGGCUCAGCUCUAGCCCCCUCAUCAGCCGCCUUCUCGACCUUGGGGUCGACCAUGGCAACGUCUGUAGCCCUGGAGCCGGCUCCAUCGCGUCGCGGCGCUAAGGUCAGCACGACCUCUCCGGUGUGAGCCCCUUUAUCAGCUCCGACUUCCAGAGGCGGUGAUUGUUCCACAGUGCACCUGCUUGCUGCCUCGAUCUGGGCCAAAGCAACUAGUCAGCUACGCUCUAACGUCAUUGGCCAGCACGACAGUCCUGCAUCACCAAGUUCAACAAGCAAUUCAAACAACUGGUUGGCAAACAUAACUGCAACACAGACAGCAUAAGCAGACGACACUUAAAGGGUGCUCUUCUUCUUCACUCGGUACUUGGGGUGCAAUGGUGGCAGUGGUGCCAAUGUAUCUUUGCUGGACCCGCCGCGGAUCUUCGUUUUCAGCGCCUCCUUGACACACGCCGCGUCGGCCACGGUGGUCUCCUGAAGCUCACUUUUUCUUCUUCGUGACCGGGCUUGGCGUGUCGGACUCCUCGUCCGCGUCGCUAGCCGACUUAGUGGUGCAGGCUGUGCUCGGGGCGGUCUUCUCCUUCCCCUUCCCCUUCUUGCCGGCCAUCUUCCUCUUCAUGAAGCUCGGUCACUGCGACUUGGUGGUAGGCUCCUUGUGCACGACUUGCCAUGUUCGACGCCCAACCAGCUCAGAGCCUUGAGCCUGACCGACCUCUUUUGUCAUACCCUCGUCCAACCCAAUGAAAGAGUCAGACUCCCACUAAAGGUCGGCGGGCGGCAUGUUGGGCUCGUCGGUCGGGCGAAUCUUGGGACACUGCUGCUCGACCCCUCUAGGAAGUGGCACUGGGGAAAAGAAUAUAAAUUCAUCAUCCUGGACAAUUAACAAAGCAUAAGUCAGAAACAACUCAACAUCAAAAUAGUAUGCAUAACCAAUAUCAGUACAGGUCAUACCAAGUUGGGUGGCGGAUGCUUCAACGAAUAUGCCUUAGGGCAGUUCCUGUUCUUGAUCAUGCCCCCGAAGAACUCGAACACCCGUUUCACGAUCUCCUCUAUGGGCACCUUGCACGGGACCUCCCGGGUCAGGUCCACUGGCCCCGAGUAUUCAUACGCCGGGUAUACUCGGUGCUUGAUUGGUUGCGUCAACCUUUUACUGAAGUUGAUACUGAUGGCCCCGGCUGUCAGUCCCCGUGAUUUUAGGUCGGCGAUCUUCACCAGCAGCUCAUUCAUUUGGACUCUCUCCUCUGAGGUUGGUUGAUUUGACCACUCGGGCAUAACCACUGGCCCGUACCCUAUACGCGGUGGCAGCUCGGGCUGCUGAUUGGCAACGGUGAACCACUCCUUAUGCCAACCCUUGUUGGAGUCCUUCAACUACAGAUCAAAAUAUUCCUGCACCUUCUUCGACCGCAGAGAAAAUCCACUACCCCCGAUGACUCGCUGCUGUUUCCCAUUGGUGGCCACAAUCUUCAAUUGGCACAGAUAAUGCCACAGAGUGAAGUGCGGCGGGAUUCCAAGAUACGCCUCGCACAGUUGGAUGAACACCGCAAUGUCUAAAAUUGAGUUGGGAUUGAGAUGUACCAGCUCGAUCUUAUAGUAGUGCACGGUAUCCCGAAUCCACGCUCUAAGAAUGGCGCAAAGACCACCGUCUUUGUCAUUUCCACCGAUGGGAAGUCUUGGCCGACGGUCAGCUUCCAAUCGAGAAGUGCCUGCGGCCUGAGGAGGCCCCAGUUGAUGAGGGCCUGGAUGCGCUCUUGGGUCAUCACGAACUUCAUCCAGAUGGUGGAUGGCUCCGGGAUGUCUGCCUACGCCAUUUCUUCAAGCUCUAAACCUUGAGAUUUGGCUGUAAUGGACGCUAGGAUUUUGGUGCGCAUACGGAGGCACGACAGCUUGGGCGGCGGAAUGCGCGCGAGCUGCUUUAGGGCUUGCAUCGGCGCGGCCUAGCGUUCGCAAGGGCGGUGAUGAGGAGCUCAGUGGACUGUGGCGGCAGUGCUGUGAGUGUUACGGAUGGAAAUGAAAUGGCAAUGUGACCCCUUGCGCUUUUGAGAGGCGUAACGACGUUACUUACGGAUGGAAUUUGCGGGACUUCCAUUAUCUGUGGGUUUUGCAUUAGGACGGCAUGCACGGGAUGGAAUCUGCGGGUUAUCCAUUAUGAUUUUAACGACCUGCCUCCACGGCUCCGCCAGUCCUCAUCCUCAGGGACUAGGCGCCUAAUUCUAGUUGGCGUGCCUUCGUGGCCCCGCCAGUCCUCGUCCUCGGGGGCUGGGUGCCUAAUUCUGGUCGGCGUGCCUUCGUGGUUUCGUCAGUCCUCGUCCUCGGGGUCUGGGCGCCUAAUUUUGGUCGGCGUGCCUUCGUGGUUUCGUCAGUCCUCGUCCUCGGAGGCUGGGUGCCUAAUUCUAGUUGGCGUGCCUCCGCGGCUCUGCCAGUCCUUGUCCUUGGGGGCUGGGUGCCUAAUUCUAGUCGGCGUGCCUCCACGGCCCUGCCAGUCCUCGUCCUUUGGGGCUGGGCGCCUAAUCCUAGCCGGUGUGCCUCCAUGGUCGCGCAUGUCCUCGUCCUCAGGGGUUGGGUGCCUAAUUCUGGUUGGCGUGCUCUGUGGUCUCACCAGUCCUCGUCCUUGGGGGCUGGGCGCCUAAUUCUGGUCGGCGUGCCUCCGUGGCUCCUCCAGUCCUUGUCCUCGGGGGCUGGGUGCCUAAUUCUGUUCGGCGUGCCUUCGCGGCUCCGCCAGUCCUCGUCCUCAGGGGCUGGGCGCCUAAUUCUGUUUGGCGUGCCUCCACGAUCCCGCCAGUCCUCGUCAUUAGGGGAUGGGCACCUAAUCCUGGUCGGUGUGCCUCCGUGGUCCCGCCAGUCCUCAUCCUCGGGGGUUGGGUGCCUAAUUCUGGUCGGCGUGCCUCCGUGGUCUUGCAAGUCCUCAUCCUCGGGGGUUGGGCGUCUAUUUCUAGUCGGCGUGCCUCCGUGGCUCCGCCAGUCCUCGUCCUCGGGGGCUAGGCACCUAUUUCUAGUCGGCGUGCCUCCGCAGCUCCGCCAGUCCUUGUACUCAGGGAUUGAACACCCUAUUUCAAGUCGGUGUGCCUCCGUGGCCCUAUCAGUCCCUACAUUCGGAUGUAGGUGCAUAUAUAUAUUCGGCUACAAUAAUAUUUCAUGGAACGAUCACUGGCAUUAUGUAUUACAAAUGCCUGUGGCAAAUCUACGAUAGCUGAUAUCCCAGGAUACCGGCAAAGAAAGUACAACAAAAACAAAAGUUACACAGAACACCUCCUUCCCAACGGUGUGCUCGAGAAGGUGGCAGGGUUCACGAUAUAGCCUCUUCAUGAGGAUUCUUCUAGCAUCGUCACCUCAUGACUUCAUCAAAGAGACUACGAAGGGAAGGAGCAUCCUAGUUUACCUCACGAGAAUUCUUCUGGCAUCAAGCUUCCGGGCAGGUGCUACUCCUAUCAAAGACUACAAGCUUCCAGCCUACAAGUGCUAUUUUUUGGGCCAUGGUUCUUGUAAUGAACGGUGGUCUAUUUAUAGCAGGAUGGUUAGUAUACCACCAAGGUGCUACAGUGGACUUGUGAGGGUUCACGACAAGACUCUCCCAUACUGAUAUGGCUCCACAGUGUUCACGUGAUGCCUGGCCUGGCUUCCGUAAGGGCCGGUAGUAAUCUUGCAGUCGCUCAGGCGGUGCAGUGUUUGUGGACAGACAUCUUUGUCGUGUCUCUAUCGUUGCACCAAUCCUUAUCUUCAAAGAUUUGGGCAUGUUCUUUUGGUUGGCGGGCUUCCAUGGCUGCGCCUAUCCUUGUGCUCGGGCACUAGGAUCCACUUCAAGAAUUACCUUUUUUUCUCUUUGACCAUUGGACCGAUUAUACUAAUCGCUUCAAUGCUCGGGGGCUAUUCCUACGGUUUGCAUCUUGCGACGCCCUCCGUAACGUUUGUUUCGACCUGUUGGAUGCUAGCAUCCAUCAACUCGGCACUCAACUUCGCUCUGCGCGUUGGCUCUGCGUUCGCUCGGAUUUUCCUCUUUUUUGAGCACUGCGCAGCCUCUCCGUCACCAUGAUGCCAUCACAGCUUCAUCCGAUUUCAUUCUGAAGCUUCACUGUGAUGACCUCAAGUUUUGGUUCACCUACACAUCGCUUGGGGGUUUGAGGGAUAUGGGUACCCCAUGGUCCCUACCAACCAGGAUACUAGCCGGACCUGACAAGUGGGCUCACUCGACCAGGGCGUGCGGGCCGAGGACAUGAAGAUACUUGGAGUACACAUCAAGGCAGCAUGACAGUUCAAAUCAGCUCGGAUAUCAUGGAACGUGUAUUGUAGUCAAACUUAGAUUACCUUCCAUGUAACUACCAAGUAGAUUAGAUUCAAACCGACUUGUAACCCUAGGUCAUCAACCUAUAUAAGGCAGCCAAGGGCACCUCCUGAGGGCAACCUAACACACCUCAUCUCAUACCAGCAAUACAAUCCACGCAUACAGGACAUAGAGUAUUAUUCUCCGGAGGCCCGAACCUUUCUAAAACCCUUGUGUCCCUUGAGUUCUCGCGAUCACCUUCGAGUUCUUGAUUUCGCAAUCACCCUCACCUAAAAAUCAACCACUUGGGUAACCCCCUGGUGGACUGCCGGGCUUAUAAAUCCGAUAGGCUCUCGUAUAAAAUGUAUACCCAUUUAUCUCGUACCCUUGGUAUUGCAAUAUCGAGACAGAUGGUCCCAUAGGCAAACAUUGAAGUUGUUCAUCAAUCAUCUCAUUACCCAUGAGUUUUCAUUGGAUCCAUGUUGCGAAAGUAUCUAUGUGAUGCUGUGUAAUCCGGGCCUCAGACUUCCCCGGGUUUUUGGACCGUACAAUAUCCUUGUGCUCCUCCAUAUAUGGAACCACCGAGGAUGAAUUCUGCAGCAUUGUGAAGUUUGCUUUGUUGAUUUCAGUCUCAUGUAUGUUCAUAUUAGUUUUCUUCACGUGGCCCUCAUGGCGUGAUACGUGGACCCCUAUCAGACUAAGUUCAUCAAUAAAGUCAACACAAAACUCAAUGACCUCCUCUGUUCCAUAUCCUUUGGUGAUGCUACCUUCUGGACGGACAUGAUUGCGAACGUACUUCUUUAGGACCGACAUGAACCUCUCGAAAGGCCACAUAUUGUGCAGGUAUACUGGACCCAGAAUGGUUAUCUCUUUAACAAGGUGAACCAAGAGAUGAGUCAUAAUAUUAAAGAAGGAAGGUGGAAAGACCAUCUCAAAGCUCACAAGACAUUGGAUCACGUCAUUCUGUAGCUUUAUUAGAUUGUUUGGAUCGACUGCCUUCUGUGAAUGCUCUGAGAAUAAAAGUCUCCGGUUUGUCCUCAUCCCAUAUAGGUACACCUUAUUCCUUCCAGAGCAGUAAAAGUUCAUCAACCAACGGUCUUAGGUACACGUCAAUGUCGUUGCUAGGUUGUUUUGGGCCUUGGAUAAGGACUGGGAUCAUGCUGAAUUUCCGCUUCAUGCACAACCAAGAAGGAAGGUUGAAGAUACAAAAGGUCACAUGUCAUGUACUAUGAGCACUACCGAACUCACCAAAUGGAUUCAUUCCAUUAGUGCUUAAACCAAACCUUAUAUUCCUUGUGUCCUUCUCAAAGUCUGGAAAUUCUCUGUCAACAUUUCUCCACUGGGAACCAUCUGCGGGGUGUCUCAGCUUCUCAUCUUGCUUACAUUCUUCUUUGUGCCAUUGCAUCAACUUAGCGUGCGCCUUGUUUCUUAACAAAUGCUUCAAACAUGGUAUUACAGGGAAAUACCACACCAACUUUGCUGGAACUCUCUUCUUGAUAGGCUGCCCCUCAACCUCACCAGGGUCAUCUCACCUGAUCUUAUACCGCAAUGCCUCGCAAACAGAACAAGCAUCCAAUUUCUCAUAUUCGUCGCCGCGAUAAAGGAUACAAUCAUAGGACAUGCGUGUAUCUUCUGUACAUCCAAUCCUAGAGGGCAAACAACCUUUUUUGCUUCAUAUGUGGUUGAGGGCAGUUUGUUACCCUCGGGAAACAUGUUCUUUAUGAUUCUCAAUAGCUUCGCAAAUCCCUUAUCGGUCACACCAUUUGCUGCCUUCCACUGCAUCAAUUCCAAUGUGCUACCCAACUUUUUGUGGCCCUGUUUGCAAUCGGGGUACAACAACUUUUUUGAUCCUCCAACAUCUUCUCAAACUUCUUUGUCUCCUUCGUAUUUUCGGAGUCUUUCUUUGCAUCUAGCAACACCUGACCUAGUUCGUCAGCUGGUUCAUCUUCUACAAAAUCUUCUUCAGCCUCGCCCAUUUCAAAAUCUACAAAGGCACCACCUUCAGCCCAGUCAGUUGGAAUGUUGUUAUCAUCAUCAUCUUCUUCUUCAUCGUCUUCCAUUACAACUCCUCUUUCACCAUUCUUCUCCAAAGAAUAUAGUUAUCCAUGAAACCCCAACGAAAUAUGUGGCCGUGUAGAGUUUUUCUAUUAGAGUAAUCCUUGUUAUUUUUGCACAUUCACAUGAAACCCUUCAGCGACUUGUUGACCUCUGCUGCUUCGAGAAAAGUCUUUAGACCAUUAUGAACGACAUGGAGCACUGUUCCCGUACAUCCAUUGCCGGUCCAUCAGCAAAAAGUUUUUAAUUUACUUCUACAUUUGUAAAGCAACAAAUGUAAAAAAAACUUUCUGAAAAAUAUUGCUGACCUUUUAUAUAUGGACCACUUUCGAUGAGUAAAUUAAAUCCCUACAAAUUUUGUGGGGAAUUUCGGCAGCAAAUCCCUUUGUCCCGAAUCGUCGUUAGGUUAAGCUCAACUAUGUUAUUUAUGUAAAGCAACAAAAUUAGUUGAUUAUUUUUGUUUCAACAUUGUACUUAUGUUAUUUAUCUAAUGCAAAGCAACAAAAGUAAUUAACACAACACAUAUUUGUCAACAUCCAAUACGAAUUUCUCAAUAUCAAACAGACUUUCAUAAAUAAAAAUUCUACAUUCUACAUGCAUGUAUGCAUGUAUAAAUUGAAAAACUCUCCAUUCAUCCUCACUCUAAAAAAGCAUAAAUUUCUCUAGCUACAAAGCAUAAAACAUAGAAUACUAAUCAUGAUAGGAGGGAGGAUGAAGUUCCUAACUUUUAGAACAGUUGGAAGGGUGAAAUCCCCCCAAAUCGUGGGAAAAAUGGGCAGCACCUCCCCUAGGUCGCCAUGGGAGUGAAGAAGCCCGAGCUCUCGAUCAAAUGGUUGAGCUCGAGCUCAGGGAGGAAAAAUGAGCUUAUUUUAUAGUUUGUACAUUAGUACCGGUUGGUGGCUCCAGCCAGUACUAAAUUGUGAUAUUUAGUACCGGCUGAAGCUAACAGCUGGUACACACGUACGUGAACACCAUUUAGUACCGGUUGAAGCUACCAACCGGUACUAAAUGGCUUCAAGGGGAAUCUAGCCGUUGGCCACCCGGUCCCCAUGCCGCCAUUUAGUACCGGCUGAGGCUCCAAACUGGUACUACAGGGGCUCCGGUGGCACUAUGCGUGACGACAUCUGAUACUAGCGCGUUGGACGAAUGCUCAGUUUCUAGUAGCGUUGGUGACCAUCGUCUUUGACCUACACAAGUGAUUUUAUCCGCAUAAACAAUUUUGCAGGUUCCGGAUAUGGGAACCCGUGGUACAUGUGUUGAUGCCCCAUUUCUAAACGCCUUUUUAUACUUAAACUGCAUAAUACUUCCAGAAGGUUAAUUGUUUUACUAUACUCGUGUAAGUAGUAGUACAGUUGCAUGAUUUGCGAUACAAGGGUUUAGAGCAACCGUGUUAUGUCGUUUUCAAGAGGGAGCCCUUAAUUAAGAACGAUGUGAUUGAAGUGAACUAGAUAGCCAGAAGAAGAUCCAACCGGCCAAAAAGCCCAAGUGUACUUUCUUUGGCACUGUUUACUAACAAAUUGAGUCGAUCAUGAGUCACUAAGCGAGCCCUAACUCCUGCCUUUAAGUUGGCAAGCUGUCCUCAAAACAAACUCCCAGAAGAGCAUGGAUCCAAGCGACGUCGAAUCGCUAUAUAAUAACGCGACGUGAGCUACUCAUUUUGCUACAUAUCCAAGUUUCCCAUUUCAUGCAACAAUAGCAGCACGGAUCUCAAGUCUCAACCACUUUCAUGGUGGGUAUCGUCCCAGACGUGCCAAAUUAAAGAAUUUUCCACAAAUUAAUUAAGAUUAAGAAAGCCGGAAUACACAGGCCACAGUACACAAGUACUAGCAGCACCCAAGGGCAAACUGGCAACUCGGGGAUCAAACAGAUCUUCCCACCCGGCUUAAGCCACUCCUUCCUGCCUCUAUAUUUUUGGGCAGCCUCCAUCCACCGGACGGAGGAGUUGGGUGGUGUGGUCCAAAGCCGAGGCGCGCGCGCGCGGCAGAGGGCCGGCCGGGUCCCAGAAGAGGUGGCGACAUGCAUGGUUCGGGUUAAGCCUAGGAGGUUCUCUCUCCAUGGGUAGCCCGCCCUUUGGCCGCCGUUCUCGUGUAAGAGCAUGCGCCAUGCACCGCGCCGUGUAUAUUUGUGGCGUGGGGGGCGCAGCAUUGGAGCGCACCCAUUUCGGUACGGGCCUCCCAGUUUAGGGUAAACCCGACCAGAGUGGGUAACUGCGCAGCUCCCCUCCAAAGUUACCCACCUUUGAAGCAGAUGAGAGAGAUAUAGAGAUGGAUCCAUGGAUGGCGACGCGUGAAAAAGAUGCGAGAGGAAGAGACCGGCAGCGCGCUACAGGGCAGCCGCACAGUGACCCUGCCCUCUUUCCCGGUCUCCACUAAUAUUCCGCUCCCCGUCCUCUCCUCCCCCAUGCCGGCCGGCUCAUUAUAUCAGCGCGCACAAUGCAAGCUGCUUAGGCCUUGUUUGUGGCAUCGUGAGGGUGUGGCCUAGCUGAGCUGGGGCGUGCUGAUCAGCAGGCGGCAGAGCUGAGAGAGAGCUAGCGGCUGUGCGAGAGCGAGAGCAAAGCUCGGAGAGGGGAGGAGGAAGGAGAGAUCGUCAUGGGGAGGGGACGGGUUGAGCUGAAGCGGAUCGAGAACAAGAUCAACCGUCAGGUGACCUUCUCCAAGCGCCGCAACGGCCUGCUCAAGAAGGCUUACGAGCUCUCCGUGCUCUGCGACGCCGAGGUCGCGCUCAUCAUCUUCUCCAGCCGCGGCAAGCUCUACGAGUUCGGCAGCGCCGGGUAGGCGAUCUCGACUAGAUACACUCACGGCCACUAAUUAAUUUUCAACUCCUGCAAGCAGAUCUGCUGCUUUUACCCCUUUUUCCCCCCCUUUGUCGAAAAGAUCUGGUGAUGCUUUGGUCCGUUGCUCGGUUUCGUUUUCCUCUUAUUUGCUGCUGCUGGCUUCGCUUUGGCUUUCUUCUCUGUGAUUUCUUGGCUUUUUGCAGCGAGUAGCCGGGCUCUACUCCUGUAGUUCCUGGCCUUGGUGAGGCAUGUUAUUUUAUUCCUGCUGCUAUCUGCGUGUGUAUCCGUGCGGUAGGGGCAUGGCGGUGUUCAUAUAACCCGGGUGCUGGAUCCCUAACUGGCAUGAGACAUCCUUUCAGCAGAUCUACGAGCCCUACCCUUUGCCUCUUUCUUCCACCUUCUCCGGGCACUUGAAGACUGAAGUAGUCGCCCACGCACGCACGCGCCUCUUUCCUCCAUCUUCUCCGGGUACUUGGGGUGGCCAUCUUUCGUGUGUUGGGCCGUGCGUGUGUCAGAGACAGUUCGAUUGCUGAGCUAACAGAGGGGAUCCUUGGGAGGAAGGGGGUAGAGAGAGUUAACACGAUGAGGUCUGCGAGGGGAAAGGGAGGUAUGUUCUUUCCCCUUUUGAUCCAGCGCCUGCUUAUAUGAAAUUCCUGCUGGCCACACACUUGUCUUGGCACUUGGUUUUGCUCUGGCCACCUCGUCACAGCAAACCUCUUCAUCUUGCCUGAUCUAUCACAUGCUGAUUUGCUCCUUGUUGCUGCUUCUUUUAUCUUUUACAAUUUCAUGCCAGUUUGCUCGGCAAUGACAAAAUUGAGGCACAUAUCUUAGUAUAUUAUUAGCAUGUUUGCCCCAUAAAAGAUUUAGAUCUAUUUGAUUUGCCCCUUCUCCUUUUCAUCCUCCUCCCUUGUUUCUUAAUGUUCUUCGUUGUGUUACUUUCAUUUACUAGAUGGUUUUUGAUGUCUAGAUAUAGAUAUUUUUUGUUUCCUCUUAAGGUAUUUUGAUCGGAAGAUAUGUGGAAGAAUAUUUCUUGUUGUUCCUUUUCUUGCUCUCAUUUUAUGGCUAUAUAUGCAUCAGUACUACUGAGUCAUGGAUCACACUUUCGACUUUAUUGAUCUUGGAUAUUGCUUGCACUUUGAUCAUUUAUUUCCCAUUUCUUGUUUGUCAGUUUAAACCAAUUUCUUGGUUUCAUGUAUUUCGCAGUUUAUUGACCAUGCUGCUUGAAUAUCCUUUUUUCCUUCUUCUGCAUGUGGCAAGAUCUAAACUAAUGCUUCAGUUAAAACGAAGUUAUAUAUCUUCUCAAUUAAAUCUAGUUUAGGAGAGAAAGCUCCCCCUCCUGUAGUGGAUCCUUAUCUUUGUGAAAAAAAUCAAAGUUCACUGCACGCAUGUUCAAUUUUUUUUCUUAACCACUGGUGUUCGAUUUGUUCGCAACUUGAAUUAUGAAACUGUUGAUUUUCGCUGAAAAUGAUAAUAUCGAAAGUUCCAAUUAUAUGCUUCAGGUUGUGUACGUUGUUCAUAUUUCUAACAUCAACUAACCAAUGCAUCUGAUAAAUAUUGAGUGAUGUAUGGGGGAGAUGUCUUACAUUAUGCAUCUUGGUGUGAUGCAUGUUCGAUCUAUUUACAAACGAAAGUGUGAGCAUUGUUUGCUUUGUCGUAGGAAAGUCAGGUAAGCUUGAGAUUAAAUCCUAUGAGUUUUAUUUGUUGAAAAAAUGUUUAAUUUGCCAAAGAAAGUGCUAAACUUGGUAACCACCAAUUUACUGAAAUUUUAUAGCAUCGUAGAGCUAGUCUGCUUUCUCAAGGCUUUUGCCUUCUUUCCAUAGAAUCAUCAGUUCAUGGCACUGUUCUCCUUACUCUCACUAUAUAGUGCCAGCUGGAUGUUAAUGUUUAAAAAAUGAACCGCAUCCGGAGUGUGAAAAUCUAUAUCUUCUUGUGCCUCUCUAUUUUUCUAUAAGCAUGGCUUUUUAGAUUUGGGUGCUUUUUCAUGUUCACGAUAAAACUUGGAUUAGUAACCAGAUGACAUUUGCGAGGCAACAAAUUUUCUUUGCUUAGGCAUAUAUACAUAGAAUUGAAUUUUCAGAGUUGCAUACGAAUCGCUGUGCAGUAUAAUAAGCAUAAUGGUUCUUACAUAAUCUUGUAACAUGAGACGUCAUAGAAAUAGAGAGCUGUGACUGUUCUUAUGCAUUAUAGAAAUCAUUUGCAGCGUUUUUUAAUGGCAUCUAAUUUGGUUUCUUUACACAUAACUUCCUGUGCAGAAUAACUAAGACAUUAGAAAGGUACCAACAUUGCUGUUACAAUGCUCAAGAUUCUAACGGUGCACUCUCUGAAACUCAGGUACACCAUCAAUUGUUGCUCAUGAUUACCUGUACUUUAAAGUUUCGUUUCCUCCAAAAAUAAAUAUGCAUGGUUUCUCUUUACUUUGCUUAUCUACAUAUUUUUUAAUUAAUUAUCUUUAAAUUCUCCAACAUAUUGAAUACAACCAUUAACUAGAUCUACAAUUUUUCUUCAUUUGAUCCAACAUGCAGUUUGACUACCAGGUUAUAUUAGUUGUCAUACAAAUAAAAGGCAAAUACUAUAUAAUAAGUAUAUGGUAUAUACCAUUAUCAAUCUUAUGGUGGAGAUAUUAAAUCUGAUCCUAAAAGUUAAAGUGAAUUGUAUAUAACUAGACGUUGUUUUUGGUGUAUCAACAAUGUUUAAGUAUCUUUCCAUUUUCACAAAUUUAUAAUUUAUAAACAAAGGAAUAAUGUCAAAAUGAAAUGAAUAUAAUGCUUUCUUGUUACAAGUUACAACCACAAGUAAAGCUAAGAGAGAAACUACUACUGUGAGAACUGAAUUCAUUUUCAGAUUUAGUUAUCAUUUUCAGAUUUAUUUAUCACGCCUUCUAAUUUAAGAAUAUUUAUUCCAUGCUCUGUUCUUAGAUUCUGAGGUAUCAUUAAGCUGCGAAGUAAUCAAGACCAUUAAUCAAUUUCUGUCUGUUAUACUAGUACAUGCGCAUUCAAGUUAGUUGUUGUUCAUUGUAAACAAGCUCCUAAUGCAAGCCUAGAUAUUAUUUCUGAAUUUUGGUAAAUUUAUACAACAUAGACUUGUUUUUGCACUGGUAUUUGACAUUGUAAAAUGGCUAUUCCUGCUAGUCUUUCACCGGUAGUUGUGUGUAGUAAAUAAGUUAUAAGCUCCCAGUGAAAGCCAAAAAAAUUAAUUAUAGAACUUAAUUAGUGAAGUUUCUGCAAGAGUUCAUUUUUUUUACAUGAUAUUUGUUAAAAGGUCAUUCUUGCUGUUUUCCAAUGCACUAAAACUUGUAGAUAAGGUCAACGGGCAAAUUAAAAUGUCAUGUAAUUGAUCUAGUAAUGAGGUUGACUAUGCCUUUUUUUUUGUUUAGGGCUGGUACCAGGAAAUGUCAAAACUGAGGGCAAAAUUUGAGGCUUUGCAACGCACGCAAAGGUUAGAUUUUUCAUAUUUUUACAUGUGGUAAUGCAAUGCCUCAACAAUGGAAUUAUCAUAUUUGUAUUCCAUUAUUUGAACAGGCACUUGCUUGGCGAGGACCUUGGCCCACUGAGCGUGAAAGAACUGCAGCAGCUAGAGAAACAGCUAGAAUGUGCUUUGUCCCAGGCGAGACAGAGAAAGGUUCAUAUCUCAUUUUCCCCUUAUGUUACAGAAAACAGUAACACUUGUUUUUGGAGCUAAUUGAUGUAUAUAUUCGGUGUAAUCAUAGAACUCACCUUACUAUGGUAGCAGCAUUAGUAAUGACUUAGUCUGUGUAAGAUAACACAUAAUUAAUGUAUUAUGGAGUUGAAAUAGGACAUAAGGAUGAUUAAACAUAUUAGUCCAUUAAAUUUGACCUUAUCUUAUUGGCUUUAUAUAUUGUUAUUAUUACAGGUAAUGAAAGUUAUAAAUUAAGUAGCAUGCUGGUCUUUAUCUGUGCUAAAAUUACCAACAUUAGCUUUGAUACGAAAAGUAUGGUAUAUAACCUAGCUAUAUAUGCAUCCUAUCCACGAAAAGUAUAGUAUAUAACCUAGCUAUCCACUAAAAUUACCAACAUAUAUUUGUUUUAAAUCUUUCUAAUGGCAAAGCAAAUAGUCCGUGUUCCAACAUAUUCCAUUCUGAAUGCAUGGGGCUAAUCACCGUACCAACCAUCCAAACGAGCCCUUUACAAUAUGAAAAACUGUUUUUUCGAUUUAACGAGUUCAUUUUAUAAAUGGAAAUGCACAAAUACAUACUUCUCUAUUCGUGCAGUAUGGCUAAUUAUUACCCCAAAUUCUUUUGCCAGACACAACUUAUGAUGGAGCAAGUAGAGGAGCUUCGCAGGAAGGUAUUUUGUAUCAGACUUGUUUAUUCAGAAAAAAGGGCUUGUUUAUACAGUAGUAAUGGAAGUAGUACAGUCGCAUGGGCGUGUGGCUCCAGAAGUGCUAGUUUUCUACUACUGCCGAUGACUUGCCAUAGGUUGAUACACUGUAGCGAGCUUGCCUAUAUCGUAUGCACACUAGGGUAGAUCCUAUGUCCUUCAUUUGAACAAUCAUAGGGUAUGUGCUAUAUAUAGAUUGAUAUGCAUAGGUGGCUUCCAUGUACUUUCUUGUAAAAGAGAUCCAGCUGUUCAUCUUAAUGUCUAAUGCGGCAACAUUUCUGAUGGACUGGGCAGGAGCGUCACCUGGGAGAAAUGAACAGGCAACUCAAGCACAAGGUCCUUAUCUGUUUCCUAGUAAAACACUUGCAUUGUACAUUAGAGUUAUACUUUACCAUGGACAUUAUUUAUUUGUUUACGAUGUUAUAUGUUUUAUUUCCAAUUUUUCAGCUCGAAGCUGAAGGUUGCAGCAACUACAGAAACUUGCAGCAUGCCGCCUGGCCAGCUCCCGGCGGCACCAUCGUGGAGCAUGACGGCGCUACAUAUCAUGUGCAUCCGCCUGCUCACUCAGCUGCUAUGGACUGUGAACCCACUCUGCAAAUCGGGUAUACAAUUUCUAGCUGAUUAUUGCAAUUCGAGAAACAGACAUGUAGCUGCUACCCGGUGAUCAAGCUGAUCACUCAUAAAAACUUAUCAUUGUAGAGUACUAACGAAACAAAGAUAACUCUGUUGCUAGGUAUCCUCAUCAUCAGUUUCUGCCUUCCGAGGCAGCCAAUAAUAUUCCACGCAGCGCCCCCGGAGGCGAGAACAACUUCAUGCUGGGAUGGGUUCUUUGAGUUCCCCUAUUGCAUCCAUCAGAUGAAAGUGGCAACAAAUAAAAGGCAUAUUCAGCGCUAUAUGUGCAUAUCCAUGCUCAGUGCUGGAUUUGCCGCCAUCUUUUAAAUUUGCUGUUCUGGUGUGUAAGAUCUAAUUAAGAACUGCACCUUUAUUCUAUGUGAUUGUAUUGUGGCACUUUUAUAUUUUUGUGCAAGGCCAAGAAUCUUGUAAAAAUACUUCUGUGCUGCCGGUGCAUGCAAUCCAAAAUUAUCUCUACCGGUACGUAUUAUAUCUGCUCAUGCAAGAUUCAGUGACUUCGAGUAUUUGUUUGCUUUAUCUCUUUCUUCUGGCCCUGGUUCCUGUCAAAGCAUGCAGAUAUAAUCAAGCCCUUGUUCACUUCCCACAAAACUCCCAACUUUAGCACUAUGCAAAAAGAAGAUUCCCCAUCACAUCAAACUUGCGGUACAUGUAUGGAGUACUAAAUGUAGACGAAAUCAAAAACUAAUUGCACAGUUUUGUUGUACUUUGCGAGACGAAUCUUUUGAGCCUAAUUAGUCAAUAUUUGGACAAUAAUUCACAAAUACAAACGAAACGCUACAGUGUUGCUACAGUAAUUUGGCACCUCCCAAAUUCCCCAAGUAAACAAGGGCCAAAGCCAACUAACCUUUAACCUCGACCGCACCAAUGCAACAUAUUUGUAAUUUUGUUGUUCCGGUGAUUUUAAUUUUUAUGAUAUGUCUGCAACUUUCUUUGUCAAGUACGGAGUAACAGAAAAGGCAAUGCUAUCGACAGAAUUUCGUUUCAGGUAUAGUCAGUUUAGUUGUUUAAUGAUGACAAGGACAUGUCAGAAAUCUUAGCAACUGUUCGUGCAAGGAUGUGUAAGCCGCCGGGUGCGAAUAAUUGUGCUGUUUUGAAUGAUGGAAUCUAAUCUUGCCAGAAUUGAUUGUCUGUUAGAAUGUCGUGUGCACUCAUUGAUGGAUUUACAGAUUUUUCUCUAAAAUUUUCUGUAGAUCGCUGAUGAAGUAGUAGUGCUACCAUUGUCUUUAUCUUGUACAGAAGUGUGGUGGCUGUGGACGGCCAUCCAUGUGCUUGUCCAUCCGACCAUAUCACCAAGAGUAGUUGGCGUUGUUGAUGCAACGAGAGCACACUUCAAUUUGUUUGCUUCUCUGCACGACGAAAAUAUGAUGGGAAGCUGUGGGAUCACUUUUUGCAACCUUUUUUUUUAAACGAUGGACAAUAAUAUGAGAAAUUUUAUCUGUCACGGAUGCAGAAAUAAUAGCAUGAUAUAUUUGAGUUUUAUGUCUAGAAUAGUUAGUUUUGGAGCUCUAAUGUUUUUUAGGCAAACUCUGACGACUAGUACUCUGGUAGUAUUUAACAUGCUUGAUCGCACAUAUCAAUUUGGAAAUGUUUUGUAUCGAUGGAUGAAGAAAGUUUCCUUCACACAAAAACUGAGAUUUUGGAUAUUGUUGGGAUUAUGUACGUCAAACAAAAAUAUCUUUGACUACGUAGUACGCUACGUCGCUACCCAAAUCAAAUGUGCAAAAGCAAACCGUUCGAAUGAGACGAUCAUCUAGUGUUCAAGUUGCUUGCUAAAUUAUUCGAUUGCCGACCAGCUCCCCAAGUCGUGACCAAGUAGUUGCACAAAAGUUGAUGAACUAAUUCAGUAUAAUUGCUGUAAUAGAAAAUGGUGACAGAACUUCAUGUACAAUGAAUAUGGCCGAUGAUAUACUCCCUCCGUCCCACAAAGACUGUUCGUUUAGAAAAAAUUAGACAUGAUAGUAGCAAUGUUAAAAGUCCAAAGUACCCCUAUUAACUCUUCUUAAUCCCGAGCUGCUGGAUGGAUUACCGAGUAGAAAUUAAUUUAGCAUGCACGCUUGCAAUAAUUGUCGGACCUGUUAGCCUUCCUUAUAUAGUGAGUUGGCUCGGGCAUCGAUGGUGGGAGUAAAUAAUCAAUUCGUUAACUGGACUAGAAGGUAUUAUGAGGGAUUUUAUGGAUGGUCUGAAAGCUAUAUAAACACUCUUUAUUAGACAAGUUUUGGAAGCUAAACAAACAGUCUUUGUGGGACGGAGGGAGUAUAUCACUAUGAAUAUAAUGUACAUCCUAAUAAUGAGUAUUAUUAGCUGCCGAAUAAUGCUUUGACAGAUACAUAAUCAUCCCUCGUAUCAACUCACUACUAGAAAACUCAGCAUUCGUCCCGAUGCUUAGUACCGAUUGGUGAGCAUUAGUACUGGAUUAGUACCGGGUCUAACGGCUAGUAUUCCAGGGGCUCCCCGUGACCCCCUUUCGUACCGGUUGGGGGCUCCAACCGGUACUAAAGGUCACCCAUUAGUACUGGGUGGAACCUCCAAGUCCCUCAGGCACUCCACCCGGUACUAAUGGGUGACCUUUAGUAUCGGUUGGAGCCCCCAACCGGUACUAACUUCCCUCCUAUAAAUCAGGCGUCUUCUUCCUCCUGCCCGAGCCGUUUCCUCCAACUCGGGCUUCAUCCAUUCAUGGUGAAAUAGGGGAGGUGUUGUUGGAUUUUUGACCAUUUCAUGGGGAUUUUACUCAUUCAAUUGUUCUAAAGGUUACAAACUUCAUCCUCCCUUGAUACAUGAUUAGUAUACUAAGUUUUAUGCUAUAGAGCUAUAGUAAUUUGUGAUUUUUAGAAUAAGUACAAUGGAAAAAAAUUUCAUUUAUAUGCUUGUGUUAUUUAGAGCUCAUAUUUGUGAUUUUUAGAAUAAGCUACAAAUUUUUGGAUUCUAUAUUUCGUAUUAGUCAAAGAAAUUGAAAUGAGGUUAGAGGAAUAAUUUCAUAGUUUAGUCCUUUACAAAUAUGAGCUAACUAAAUUAUGGGGAAAAAUAGAAUUUGUUCAUAUUUUAGUCAUUUGCAAAUAUGAGCGAGUUAAAUUGUGGUACAUAGAGAUAAUAAGAUGAAAUAGAGGUAUGUAUUAGUCAUUUUUAGAAUAAGCUACAAUGGAGAAAUUUUUCAUUUAUAUGUUAUGUUUGAGCUAAAUAAAUUGUGGGGAAAAAUAUACUUUAUUCAUAGUUUAGUCAUUUGCAAAUAUGAGCUAAAUAAUUUGUGGUACAUAGAGAUGGCUACUGCUGCUGGAGAUAGUGGCGAUGGUGGGGGCGAUCGUCGUUCCUCUCGCCGCAAGGGGAAAACCAUAGUUGGCCCUCAUGAUAAGCCGAAGAAAAUGAGCAUGUGGGAGAGAGCAAUGCUUUGUUAUUUGGAAAGAUGUCAUGAAGAUGCUGUUGCGGUAGGUAGGAACCUCCUUUUGGUGGUCGUUAUGCUCCAUCGCCAGUCCCGGGUGUUUCAGGUCCACUGGGUACUUCCGUCGUAGGAGUCACAAAUAAACCACAGGAUGAGGCUGGGUCAGCGAAACCUUCGUCUUCACCGCCCAAGGAUGCUUAAAGUCCUCGAAACCUUCGUCUUCACCGCCCAAGGAUGCUUAAAAUCCUCCUAGAUAGCACUCAGUGGAUGGUUUGUUGUAGUGUAUCAUGUUGUUUGGGUCUUAAAUUUAAAUUUGUGUAUUUAUAUCUAAAGUUUUAGCAACAUUUGAGUUUGUCGUAGUGUAUCAUGUUGUUUGGGUCUGAAAUUUAAAUUUGUGUAUUUCUAUCUAAAUUUUCAGCAACAUUUGUGUUUAAUGGUAUUUGUAUCAUGUUUGUUACGUUUAAUGAAUAAUUAUAUAGAUGAUCAGAAUAUCUUUGGUUCAGUAAUACUUUGUAGAUGGAUCGGCAAUGGAAGUACAACGUGAACAAGCAUUCCAUGGAGUACAUUAAUGGCUUGCGUGGUUUUCUCAAUCUCGCAGAGUCCAACAAGCCGCCGUCUGGUUUCAUUUGUUGUCCAUGCCGAAUUUGCAAAAAUGAUAAGGAUUACUCAUCCCGACAGACUAUUCAUGCCCACAUAUACAUUUCAGGAUUCAUGGCUAACUAUUUCAUUUGGACCAAGCACGGGGAAAGAGGAGUUAUGAUGGAAGAUGAUGAUGAUGAAGAAGAUGAUAACUAUAUUCCUGACUAGACUCAAGGAGGUGCCUUUGCAGAUGCUGCAAUGAGUGAGGCUGAAGAAGAGAUGGUUGCAGAAGAAGGUCCUACCGAUGAUCUAGGUCACAUGUUGAGAGAUGCAAAGGAAGACUGCGAGAAUGUGAAGGAGUCGAGCGUAUGUUAGAUGAUCAUAAGAAAUUAUUAUACACAGAUUGCAAACAGGGGCAUAAAAAGUUGGGUACCACACUGGAAAUGCUGCAAUGGAAGGCAAAAAAUGGAGUUUGUGACAAGGGUUUUGAUGAGUUAAUAAAAAUCAUAAAGAACAUACUUCCCGAGGGGAACAAAUUGACGUCCUCAACAUACGAAGCGAAAAAGGUUGUUUGCCCUCUGGGUUUGGAGGUACAAAAGAUACAUGCAUGUCCUAAUGACUGUAUCCUCUAUCGUGAUGAGGAAUACAAGAAAUUGGAGGAUUGUCCUGUGUGCGAAGUGCUGCGUUAUAAGAUCAGGCAAGAUGACCCUGGUGAUGUUGAGGAACAGGCUAGCAAGAAGAAAGUUCCUGCAUAAAAUAUUACAAAUUUGAUGAUGCCUACUAAUUUUUUUAAGUCAUUUAUUGUAAAUCGAAUCUAUAUAUAAAUAGUGGUAGAAAUUAGUGGAAUAGUGGUAGAAAAUAUAUAAAAAGAGCUAGAAAUUGUUAAAUGGCUAUUAAUUGUAAUUUGAUCUUCUUUGCAAUCAAUUAUUUUUACAAAAUGUAUAAAUAUUUGUCAUUAAUUCCGCAGUCAAUUAUUGUUACAAAAUGUAUAAGUUUUAUUGUUACACUGUAAAUAUUGUUGUAGUCAUUUAUUGUAACAAAUUGUAUAAGUGUUUCAUUCUUUUUUUAGUCAUUUAUUGUUUUGUUAAAAAAUGUAUAAAUAUUGUUCAUUAAUUUUGUAGUUAAUUAUUGUUACAAAAUGUAUAAGUUUUAUUGUUACACUGUAAAUAUUGUUGUAGUCAUUCAUUGUAACAAAUUGUAUAAGUAUUUCAUUCUUUUUUUAGUCAUUUAUUUUUUUGAAAAUGUACCACUAUUAGUCAUUUAUUUUAAAAAAAGUAUAAGUUAUAGUCAUUCUUAUAAUAAACCCUACUAUUUCUUAGAAUAAUUCCUUUUAUAUUAUAUUAGUUACAAUGACAUGAUUAGAUGAAGAGCGGGAUCGAUUGGACGACGAAUUCCUAAUGGACUCGAUAAGGGAAGGUCCCACGAACGAUCACCCAAACAAAUAGGUCGAUCACAGCUAGACUGACAUCUACCUCAACAUGUCUAGUGAUGGCAACAGAGGCAAAGCUACACUAUGAUUAGUGGGUGCUAAUGCACCCCCUAAAUUUUGCAAAAAUAGUGAUUAUGCUUAAAUUUUCACCAUACAUGCACCCUCCUUAGCUCAACACUAUGCACCCAUAAGGCAAAUGCAUCCCCCACUAAUUUACUCUAGCUUCGCCAUUGGAUGGCAAUGAGGAGGAACCAAUUGCCGAGGGAGGCAAUGAUGGGCAACAAGGCGAGGUAUAGCCAUUAUUAUACGUAAACAUGAUUUGAAUUCUCUACUUAUCAAGAUUAUUAGGAAUUAAUAGUUCUUUCAUUUUCAGCCAUCUGGAUCGAGCAGGCCUAAAUGGAAACGAGACAAGAAGAAGAAGUUAGAGGGUCGUAUCAUCAUCAUGGAAAUUGAUGAAGAUGGUGAACCAAUUGCUCUAGACAAUGCUAAGACCAAAUUAGUGAAUCAAAUUGGGUUUCUUGUUAGGGAUAACAUCCCAAUAAACUUUCAGAAUUGGAAAAGCCAUGAAAUCGAUGAGAGCGUGGUCCCCACAAGCACGAUCCUCUAAAAUCUGUGUGAACCGUCUUCCACAAAGAUGUACAAAUUGCACCAAUGGUACAUGGAGGCUUCAACCACCAAUUUACUCAUGCUAGAAGUUCAGAUUGGAGAUCAGCAUUAUUUCCGUGGUGAUGCCAUUAUAAAUGUGCCGCUCGAGGAACUUUAUUUCCUUUAUAAUUAAGACGCACUUGAUAAAUCACUCAUUAGCUCCUAGAUUCUGUAAGUGUUUAAUUUGCUCUAACUUCAAAAUCCCCGCUCUAAUCAUUGUCCAAUGUCUUAUCUCCUAUUCUAUUUUGUAUCAUGCAGGAUGGAGAUUCAAGCUUGUUUGAGGAUAGGAUUGUAUGACGUCGGCUUCAUGAACCCGGAUGUUAUAAAUGAGGUAAAUGUAAGAGAUAAACCAAAUUGGAUCUUGAAGAAUAUAUAUAAUUUCUUGGACAAGCAACAUUACAAGAAGUACAUACUUCUGCCGUACAACUUCAAGUGAGCGUGUUUCCCAUCUCUUUUAUUUUUCGAACUAGCAAUUAAAAAUAAGACUAAAUAGCCUUUCACUAUGCAUAUAUGUACAUCUUUCACUGGAUACUCAUUGUUAUCGUGGUUGAUCGAAGCAUGAUCUAUAUCCUGGACUCUCUAAGGAGACCAAGAAAUCAAUACACUGAUCUCAUAAACAUGCUUAAUAGAGCAUAGGCUCGCUUCCGUCAACAUUACUCAGGUGAAUUCAAGGAGCAACUUCAUAUCCACUCUGAAUUCCCGGUAUGUAUUGAAUUUGCACAUCUCGUGUCACUUCCUUAAACACAACAAAUACUUCAUAAGUUUUUUUUACCAUAUAUAUAGUGUUUGAGAUAGAAUACGGGAAAUAAUUUAUGCGAAUACUACAUAUGUGAGUUCAUCCAUGGCUUUGUACAUCCCAAGCAUAUAACUAACCACGAAUUCAGAGUACGUGUACAAAUUUCUUAACAAUAAAUUAGUUCUAAUUGUACAGAUCCAUUGAUCUAAUAUAAUAACCUUUGCUAAUGACAUAGAUUAUGCACAUGAAGGAAGAACUCCUCCAGACGGAAAAAAUCAGGGCAAUUCAAGAACAACUCAGUAGAUUUCUUCUGGACGAGGUAGUAAAUCCAGCGGGAAAGUUCCAUAAUGAUGGAUCAAAUCUGCAUUACCGUCAAGAUUCGGGUUCAGA